UGUUAUUAUCAUUGUUAUUCAAACGAACUAAUCUAUCCUCCGUAAUAAUUUACGAAAUAAGAAGUAAUUGAUCGGAUGUUAUUGCUAUUUUAAUGAAUAUAAUAUAAAUAAUUGAAUAUAAAUAAUUUCACAUGUCGGGACGUUAUAUCGCAGUGCUGAUUACCCGAAAAUUUCACGAAAUGUUUUCUUUUUUUUUGUAAAGUAUCGUGAUACUUGUUGGUUGAUGGAACAGUUUGAGAUGAUGACAGGUUUCGCGAAGAAACAUCAAAACAGGGAAAAUCGCUGUCAUUUUCCACAGCUUACGCCUGUUGGCGGAAAGAACCGUACGCGUCGUGCGUGCGAAAGAAAUCUUCGGCGGGUGAUCCGCGCCGCGCGCAAACAGCGGCCCAGAUUAUUCCCGCGACUGGAGAUUGGCGUUUGGGUUUAGCACGCCCUCGCCAUUCAAAUCUGCCAAUUUCCAAUGGAUGCGGCCGCGUCAUUGGUAGCAUCGGAUGUUUGCCCGACGCUACCGGGUGAAAAGCGAAUGCGAAGGAGGAGGAUGAAGCCGACGAAGGUGGCUCGGCGGACGCACGGGGAAGAAGAAAGAGGAGAAAGCGGAUUCGAAUCUUUACCAACCACUCGUCGAGACACCUGCGGGUGGGAAAAUCUCCUUCGCCUUUGAAAAGCGAGGAAGUGGAGAGGUUUAUUGAGUCCUGGGACACGUAGUCUCUCGAGGACAUGCCGGAAAGUGCGAGCGAAACCUCUUCUCGCACCUCCUUCUCCCGGCCCCGCUACCCUUCGUGAACCACCACGCAUCCCCCUCUCGUCGAUGGGGGAUGAUGGGGUAGAGUGUAUUUACUGCUCGUUGCCGAGACAGAGUGACGUGAGGAGAAAAUACGCUUUCCGCGGGAGCGCGAUUUAAAAUGUAACGAGCAUGUAUAAGCGAUCGAGCGUCAAAAUUCGCUCAAAUUCUCUGAAAACACGCAAAAAUUGAGAAAUAUUGAUACUUUAGCGUAUUUUUAAUGGAUUAUUUUAUUUUUAAAUAUGACAGAAAUAUGGUAAGAGACGGGAAUUAAAUUUAAUUUCCUUGAGAAUUCUUUCCUCGCAAAUCUUUAAGACGCACAUAGCUGAAGUGUACCCUCCUUGAUCUCAGAGUCGAACGAUGAGAGCCAUCGAUUAACUGAACCUCGUUACGCAAAAUGUGAACAGUCUGCGGCAGUUAGUCCUGGCUCUUCGUGAAUCGCUUGUUACUGCAAACGACGAUUGUCCUCACUAAGAAUGCAAAUGCAAGUCUUAUCGCAUUUCAGCCCCAUUUCUAGUCCUUACGCCAGAACCGUUUCAACCCACCCUUCUCUCUUCGUGCGAGGCCAGACUAUCGUCGGCAUUCGCCGAAUCGGAAGCACCGCGAGGACCAACGACGUGGAAGACAAUGACCGGUCAUCCGUGUUAACGCUGAAAGAAAUAGAAAAGUGGAGAGAUUUCGAGUAGCCAGAGCUAAACGCAAACUUUCUCGCGAUUCUCUCACGCGUUCUUGCGGCUCUCCUUUUCUACUAUAUUUUUUUUCCCUAUCGGCUUUGACACGUUUUAAUUACGUAGCUUGUUGCUCUUGAUAAUUAACUUUUGCUUUUUAUCACAUCCUCUUGCGGUAAGAAUUUUAUUAUCGACGGUAGCACGAAAAUUUGCAUUUGCCUGCGUCUGCAUUUAUUUGAAUGACGACAUUGUUGAUCUCAAUUUCAAAUUUAAUUUACUUAUAUUAUGUAGUGAGAUUAUUUUAUUAGACAGUAGCUUUAAAGAAAUCUUUGGCUUUGCUGCUUCCAAAUAAUCGUAAUCUCGCAUUUUGAUCUCAGGAUCAAACGUCAGGAUCGCUGGCAACGAUCGAGAAGUUCGCGGACGGAGAGGCGAAUGGUGCGCGAACCGAAUAGUAGAAAGUCCCAUGCAGGGAGAGAGAGAGAGAGAGAGACAAGGCGGUAAACACGGCAGUGGAGGGAUGAAAGUUGCGUUGGUUGUCUGGUAGGGCCACGGGAGCGCGUAAUUGGAUAUAAUUUUUGCGGGCCGGCUAACCGAAUUAGACGGCGGUGUGUUUGCGUUACUAGCGGCACACGGAUGGCGCGAGAGCGGAAGGGCAGCGAAGGGCUGCCGGGGACGGGGGAGGACGGAAAGCCCGCAGGGUAACAACCGCUGCGAAUUAUUAACAGGCGCCGCUGUACGCGCCCUACGAGUCACGCCUGGUGAAAUAAAUCGGCCGGCGGCGAUCACUGCUGAAAAAGGACAGGUGACUGCACCUGUACCUUCGAAAACCGACAUGUGACAGGAACGAUUAUGGAUUUUAGAUUGGCGGAUGUAGACAAAUAAAGACGAACAUGAAAUCGCUCCUGUUAUCUUCAUCCUACGCAUCGUCAUCAAUAUAUGUAUGUAAAAAGCAUUUAUAUAUUUUAACGACAGCGAAUAAAAACCAAGAUCUGAGAACUUAAGAUUAUUUAAGAGAAAUAAUUAUCAGUUUUUUAUACACGCUUGCAAUAUCUUGAUGAUAAAUGAACGAGAUACCGAAAGCAGUAAUUUUUCUCGAUAUUAAAUUAUUGAUUUUCGCGAAUAAAACUUGGUUUAUAAAUCGCUUAUGUAUCAUACCAUGCGCUACAAUAUUUUUUCAUCAUAUACAUGUUGUACUUUAAACUACCAUACACGCACAUACUUGUAUAAGUUGUUUAAAAUUAUUUUUUGUCAUUCUACUUUAAAUGAUGCGUCUUAAACUGUCCAGCGCUGAAAAAUGUCACAUGUAUACAGAACAGCAAGAUAUCGGGUCACGCGUUGUAUUCAGUUUUUGGCUGAAAAUCCAAAAUUACUUCUCUACCAAUCGAAUAUCUCCUACGUGUGGUUUCAGCUUUCGCUUCGCGCCGUAACCGACUUCGACUGAAAUUGGCAGCUAAUCUCGUGAGGAUAAAUUUAUCGACCAACAGUGUCGGAUUAUCCUCGCUGCGCGCGGCCAUACAUCAGUUCGGAAUUUAUACCAGCAACCCACUGCAAUUUUUAAGUCGCUUUAUUCGCGAGGUAUCCGUGGUUUUACAGUUCCUGAGGGAGAGUUCCUCGUGUGCCGUUAAUUCCCGGCGUGAAUUGCACCGCGCUCGGAAUAAUGCGAGCGACCGGCUUGUGAAACAGUACGUGCCGUGUAAAAGAGCACAGGUGAACGUAAGCGAAAGAACGGAAGCGAGUUAACAGUGGCGGGUUGGGACGGGAUGCCUCUAAUCGAGAGGAAAAACGCGCGCGUACUUCCGCAGCCGUAUAAAAUCGAACAGGUUUACGGGCGGAAUAAAGCGCCAAUAAAACUAAGUCGUCGCCGAGGAAUUAUUCGCUUUCGACGCUCAGAAUACAAAUGAUCGAUGAAGAAAGAUCAUUUCACGCUUUCCCAAGACCUCAUUAUACUAUUCCCAUGAGAGUGAGGAGAGGGAGACUUGAAUUCUUCAACGAGAUGAAUCUCGAUGUUGGUACGUAAACUAAGUAAAUAUAUCAUCUUAAUUUUUAUUCAUGAGAUAAACAAAUAACAAAUGAACGUCAAAUAACGCUCUGUCAUGAAAGGAGAAAUCAUCAAAUAUCUUUGUGCGGUGAUAUAUUACUUCAAGUCCAAAAUUAGUUGAUUUAAUAAUCAAGCUGCAAGAGAAGCUUAUUUCUGUAUUUGCCAGGUUACGAAUAAAAUAUCGGAAAUUGUAUUAGCUGCUCUGAGAUCUAGAAGAAACUCAAAGAAAGAGAGAAAGUGAGAGAGACAGAAAGAAGAGACAUAAAGAAAAAUUAUUUCGCGUGUCUCGAGGACUUUAUCACUGUUUGCGCGAGGAAACACGGCUCUUCAUAAAUGCGUGUACGACAUAAAGGGCGAGGAUUUUUACGCAAGCAUUUUUCCAGAAGCAUCGCACCGUGAAGAGAUGCUCUCGGAACAUCGGCGAGACUGAGUACGUAACGCGAGUGCAUUCUCCAUAAUCUAAGCACAUCGUAGCUGGCAGUUACGAUCUCGGUAGUGUAGAAUUAUACAAAGGAGCGGUGUUACGUUACCGCCAGCUCGCGAGCCUCGUAACUUUAGGACAUUUCGCUUGUUAUGUAUCGCGUCCCUCUUUGCUACUUAAUAUAAUAGGCUGCUCGCGAAACGUAAUAUGCACGAAGACAAUUCCGAGGAGGACAGAGUCAACAGUGUGGUCAUUGACCAACCGUCUUCGGUAAUAAGCAUGUAAGGUCUGCUUAGCAGUUUAUCGUCGUUUGACGACAGCGUUCGGAAUUGAACAUUUAGAAUGUGCAGUGCUGCAUCUAUCGAUGAAACUUUUAUAAACUCCUUCAAAUUUUAAUUUUUACGUGAUUACUUUAGCUACCUUGAAGAGUACUGAAAAAUGUACAUUUAAUAUCAGAAAUUAUUCUGAAAAAUUUUGUCAAAGUAAAUGGCAUCUAAUUUAAUCAAGGCAUUUCAUAUGUACAAUUAUAUGUCGAGAUGUUAUACGAAACAUUCCAAGUUGCUGAAUUCAUUAUUCCGCUCUCCAAAUAUCAAAAUCAGUUAAAGAACCAAUAAAACGAAAUACAGCGUAGAGACGAUAUUUUGUUUCAUAAAAUCCAAUCUUGUAUGUUUCAACUCGAUAAGUGGCGAUUCACCGCGGGGUUCAUCUCGGUGCUUGGGGAAAAUGCAAAAAUUGAUACGGAGAAAGUAACGAACCGACCGUAUCUGACGUCCAUAAAAUUUCCCUCCUGCCGUUAUGAGUAGCGAAGAGGCGAUGCUCGUUCUAGUUCCAAAGUAUCGAUACAGAACAGAGGGUCCAAAAUUGCAAGACUGUCCAUAACCGGCUUGCCUGUGACCAGCGGUUACGUGGUCCGAGUACGUUAACGUGGAAACCGCAACACCAGGCGGCAACGACGAUGUUGUUGCUGUUGCGUCAUUUUAGACCGACGUUUUAGACCGCCAUAAACGAUCCUCUUCAGCCUGUGCCAACUAAAUAAACCUUGCAACAGUGUAUCCCGCUUGGCCGGUUUGCUACCUGCCACGCAAUGUGUAAGGGUGUAGCUUGGAAAUAUUUAAAUAUUUUUUGAACAUGUACUUUCUCUCUCUCUCUCUCUCUCUUGUUCGUUCUCGUUCCUGCGUUCACCACGAUCAAAUAAGUUAUAAUUGCUUUUAGCAACUACAUCUUUUGUAAAACUAUGCCACAACAAAGACACGUCACCUGUUUCAAAAAACGAAAGAUGAUAUUAAGUAGCUGUUGUACUACUUAACAAGGAAAUAAUUAGAUAUAGUCUAAUUCUUUCCUUGUUUAAGGUAGCAAAAGUUUCUCCGCGUUUAUCAAAUCUUGUGCUUCAUCUAUUUAUUACACGUAUAAACGAAAUUAUUUUUCAUGUAACAAGUGUUCUGUUUGUUACGCUUUGUUUGUGUGGCUAUCAUCAAUUUGAAUAAUUAAUUUAGAUAGAAGAAAAUUAUGGAGAAUGUAAUGCCGUUAUUGUUCAAUUGUUAUUUAUUAAUUACAUCGCGCAUCAACGCUUCAAGAAGCAUCUAUAACCUCGCUACAACGAAAUUCUUGAGCAACGUCAGAGCAUGAACGCCGCGCAUGAAAGCGGAAAGAAGUAGGAUUUCCGCGCUACCCCCCAUCGUUCCUCUUGAAAAGGGCACACUCUCGGUCAGCAGAAAUUUAAUUAAGAGGCACGCACGUGGGUUCACCCCCGCCCGCGGCCGCCCCCUUUCAUUCUCUUUUCAUUUGUCAGAACUCCGGCUCCUGGGGGUGCGAUCCGUUGAUUAGGAACGCUACCGCCGUCAGCAGUGUCACCGCCGACGACCCGGCUCGUCCCAGAGGUUGUUGCACGGCCAACAGGAGGACACGAACGUCUCCACAGCCCCGGCUUAGCCUGACGUCCCCGGCGUUUGCUGCCGAGGACGCUGCAGGACAUCAGUCACCAUUAAUCAUGCAAGAAUAAUUAACGGGGCACAAGCCUCUGAUUAGAGAGUUAUCGUUGCCGAUGCGCGGGAACGCUUAGAGAGCGUCGCGCCGUCCUCGUGGGACGACGAGAACGCCAUGGCUCGUGGUGGUGAAAUUGCUCGCCGGAUUCCCGACGUUUAAUUACGCCGCGGGUUUAAUCACGAAUCGAAAGGAACGAAAUCAUUUCGCCGCGCGGAUCUCCCUCACGACGCGAACCGGCGAAGCGUCGGAGCUGCGGUGAACGAAUAACCGGUCGACGACGACGACGACGAGCUUGAUCGAGCAACGGGUAACCACCAUUAAGGCAUCGAUCGCGACGGCGGGGGACAGAAAUACCAAGAUCCGGCUAAGUGAAUCCAGGACGAUCUUUCGGGGUAAUUAGCAAGGCACCUAAAUCACCGGAGUAGCAUCGGUCGCUGGCAGAUAGGCUACGGUGCCUGCGGGCAUCAGCGCGACGCUACUGGUGCAGGGGUAUGCGGGCGUCGAGAGGAGGCACGAGGGAGGAAAAGGGGGUGUGAAAGGAUAGGGGUCCUUCGGGUUCCUAUCUUUGUCUCAAUGUGCAUUGAUUGGACAAUGCUCGGUGUUCGGCGACGCGCUGCCACUCUGUUUCUACGGUUACGCCGUGCAUUACCCUUCAUCCCCCAUCUUCCCUUACCCUUAGUCUCGCCCGUUACCUAAGGAGGUACCCUAAACCGCUACCGCGCGCCGAUGCCGGUACUCGAAAUUACUUAGGCGCGAUAACUGCGCCUUCCAAGCCACUCUCUAACGGGAGCGGGCCCCGAAACCCAUCAGCCGAACAAGCAGUCGCGGAAUUCUCAUUAACGUCGUUACUGAUUAAGGAGAUUAUUGAUUAAUGUGACUAUUACUUAAGAAGAUUAUCAAUACGAUUUCCGUAAAACUUUUCAGCAAGAAUCAGCGGCUAAAGUAAAGCGCAAGAUAAGAAAUCAUGUAUUUGGUAAAGUUAUUUAUCCUCAGGACAAUUGGCUCAUCGAUAAUCGAUGAUGAUUCCAUUGAUUACACGCACGAUAGUCACGAGAAGACGGAAGUACGUUCGAGGUUCGUCGAAAUCAGGUGUCGGCGCUUAAAGGUGAUUAGAGAGUGUCCAUCUGCAGGCUACUAUUCGGGGCACGCUACUAUCUCGGACUCGCUCGCAAUGAAACAGCCCUUAAUAGGAUGCACGCGAGAGAGGCAUCGGUCUCUGUACACACUUGGCCUCUCCCUCGGGUCGAAAACGCUCUAUAAAUCCGCGAAGUGCCGAGGGGCUGAACGCCCGUGGGCGGCUGCGUCUAUCGCGGGCAACGAUAUAUAGAUUCGUAUCGUACCGGUGGCGGUAUAUCAGGUUUUAUGGGCGCGGUAGUUAUUUACGCGAUAGCUAAAAAUGCGCGCGGAAACAGCGGUAAACGCGCGCCGAAGACAAAGACGGGGUUGGGAAGGGUUGGGAACGUGCGGGUGGGUUUCCUGCGGGGGUCGAAACCGGGUGGGAGAGAAAAGACGUGCCGCGCGCGCGGGCAUCCGUGCGCGAUUUCGCGGGUAACAAAUUUAUACGGGAUCGUCUGAUUUAUCGGCCGCAAGUUUAACAACGGCCAGCCGAUCGGCCCCCGGGAAAAAGGGACGAGGGGCUGCUACUACCCCCAGGGAGGAAGGGAUGAGAGGAACUGCCUGCCGAUGGAGAAAUUUAUGACGCGUUCGUACGGGUUCCCGCAUUUUCCAGCGAAGUCACUCUCGACGGUCUUCCAGCGAGAUAUUCAAUGCACCAAUCGUCGAUUCAUGAUGUGCGUGACAAUUCUCACCGCGUGUCGAACGAGAGAAUGCAAGUCGCAUUGCAACAAAAGGAAUAUUUUCUACGAAUAAGAUUUACGGAACGAGUUUUAUUAGUUCUGCUCUAGGAUAUAGCAAAGUUAUUAUUUAUGUAACUUUAUAAUUAUUAAAUCCCUUCUUUCUUAAAUUAUUGAAAUAAUUUUUUAACGAUAAUGUUACUGUUGAACGUGUGGAGAAAAUUGCGGAUAUUUUAUUCUACCGUUUCUGGCGAAAACAAUUAAGCUUCGUCAGUUUUUAAUUUUCUUGGUAUCUGAUAACAAUGAAACGAGGGAAGGUUCAAUUCAGUUCGUGUCUGUAUCGUCAUUAAAUUAACGUUAAUGCGACGAUAAUGGUAUUCAGUUUAGAAUUGGGGCAGCACGAGGCGGAAUCGAUCCGCUGUCAGAUUAUGCUUACGGCGACAGUGAUCGAUAACUGUAUAAUUUCAAUGAGCCCAAUAUCAGACGGCGCAAAUACCGUCGAAUCAAACUUUCAGUGUAUCAGAUCCACAACUUCUUUAUGCCUCAUUUAGCGUCAUAAAUCUCGCCGGGAGAAAGAGAUCUAUGCUGUUUCUCCUUUUUCUAUCUGUAAAGUUUAUAUCGACUAUAAAUAACGCUAUUUAUUUAAAAAACAGUAUAUAAUUGUACAUAUAAGUAUGGACAGAAUCAUUGGUCAAAUUCGUAAUACAAAAUGUAUUAUUGAUAUAUGCAUUAUAGAUAAUAUAUUCACUAUUUUAUACUCAUUUAAAAAUAUUUCAUCAUUAAUUAUUUCCAAGAGACGAAAAUAACAGUUGAAAUUACGUUUUAAAUUGAAAUUUGUUUGUUUCAUGAAGCAGAUUAAGGUUUACGAUACAAUCUCACAUUUUAAACAGGAUAUACAUAUAAUAUCAGAAAUAUUUUACUUUACUCAAUUGUAUGUAAAAUGUCAUUUUAGUAUACCAAAUAUUAUUAAGAGAUUCCAUAAUUUUACACUAAAAUCUCUUCAAUAAAUAUGUGAAAAUUAUUUUACACACCGAUAAUUCUUCCAACAUACCGAAAAUGAUGUUAUCCAAGAAAAUUUAAUUUUGCUAGAAUUAUGUAUAUAUAUCGCAAUCCGCACAUAUAUCUGUUUUACAACAUACAUAUUGUUUUUAUUAAACAAAACUUAACAAGAUGAAAGUAUAUUUUUAUGAAAUCAGUUUGUACAUCUACGAGUAUUAUCGACUAUAAUCAGAGGUCUAUAUCUUUCUAUGGACUUGAUAUUAUGAACCGGAAUUAUCUCGAAGAAAUAAAGCGAAAGUAAUUGAUUUCUAGCCGAGUUCAGUAGUUAGUCGAAUGGCCGAGAAUGAACGCGAGACGAACGAGAGUAAGACUGAUAGAAAAAAAAGAGGAAGAAUCGUUCUCCGGUUUAGAGAUUCACGCGGGAGGUGCGGGGCGAAGUAAACUGGGAUCGGGAAUGAGAGUUGUUAUUUCAGACUUUGAGACGACGUCGAGGUUCCCAGUUAAGAAUUAGCAAAGUAAUUAAGAGUCCGGAAAUGGAGCAAAAUAAGGGCGGGGAGCUUAUAUCCAGGAACUUAUACCGAACUUGCUGAGAAAAUAGUCUAACUUGCCGCGGAGACGGAGAAAUGCGCCACGGCUCUUUUCCGUUUAGAGAAUCCGGCGAUAUUCCCUUCCUCCGUUCAACCGGUUCCAGAACUACUUAGUCCGCUCAAGUAUCAAUACUCCUUACGACACGAAGACGAUCUCUUCUUAACAAAUAUUCGCUCUCAUGCGACUAAUUCGGGAUUAAAUAAUGCAGAGAAAAAACGAGUAACGAGUGCGGGUGCACUAUCCCCUUUAAGAUAAAUUAAAUUAAAAUAAUUUUUCCAUCGGAAACCAAAGGGCUUCUGCAAAGUAAACAGUUUAUAAUUCAACAAUAAAAAUGAUUGUGCCGGCAUUAUAUCCUCGAAUACAACUACUUGAAACGCAGUACUAGCUGCACAAGCAAGUUUGAAGCGGGUCAGUCCUGAUUCAAUACUUUCACGGCGACGACAGAAAUCUUAACGAUCCGAACGUUCGUGGGAGGAUGAAGAGGACGAGAGAGGCGCGGAUAAAAAGUGAAAAGUAUAAGCGACAGGAGCGAGACGAGGGUAAAGGAUAAUCGGAAGGACGCGAUGGCGGGACCGUCAGGGACAUCUGGCUGCUUUGUCUCCGGGCCAGGACACGCCUCCUCCACGAGUCAGCUUAGCCCCAUAAACGCUUUUCUUAGGGAGGCAAUCGAGUCCCUUCUGCGAUUUACCGGCCAUCGAGGGCGAUCUUUGCGCCAGACAACUACCCGGAGGACCACCCGCCCACCCGUAUCGGGGUGUCCACGUAACUUGGCGAGCCGUGACGACGUCCGCCUAAGUUGGCGGAAUUUCACAUGUCGAGAGGCAGCAGUUCGGCGGGCAUUCGAUUAACCCUGAAGAGUUUGAGACCGGGAUAUUGUCACGCUUUAGAUUCACGUAAACAACCGCUUUCGGGUUAUCACCCUGGUAAUAUCUUUUCUCAUCAAUACAGUCGAUUGACUGAAAGUAAUGGCAUAUCCUAGCUCAACCUCGUGCUCGACGUGCUUUGAAACGGACUUCUCAAACUUCCUCAGCUUGACGUCGAACUCAAACGCGGAUCGCGGUCGAGACGUGGCAGCGAUCAGUCUUCGUAUUGGGAAUCAGAUCGGGCUUUCGAACGUUAAGUGAGCGCGACACGCGAGAGAAGGAGGAAACGGAUAAACGGUAGGCAGGGAAAAAGGGACGUCGACGCGCUCGGCGAAAUUUGAUUUUGUUACGACUGUUACGGCCGUUACGACUGUUUGCUCGUCGCGACGCCAGGCAGACGGUGUAUACUUUGAGCGGCAACGGGCAAACUCGCUGACGAGAUGUACGCAAGCGGCAAAACUCGGCGAUGAGGCUGGCAAAUUCACGAGCCGCGCUGCGAACGCGUACUUAUACUCUUCCUUUUCUUUUCUUUCUUUCUGUCAAAUAUAAUUGUAUCAAAAUGUAGAGACCGUGGUAGCCAGGCAUAAGAAUAACGCGAUAAAUAGUGGAAAUGCGGCGAUUGAGUGAUCCGAGUCAUUAACAGGUUACUGGUUUGGUAAAAACGCUUCUGAUUUAUUAAAAGAGCGUCUGCUAGCAACAAUAUUUUACAUCGUCGAGAAAGAAAUAUAAAAUUCUACGUUCCCGAUUUGUGUAAAUAGUAGAGGAGAUUUACAUACUAUUUGCAUAUACCCACUAUUUUAGAUUUUACGUGUGUAGUCAUACAUUGCGAUAAAAUUGCACGCAUCGUAUAAACUAAUAUUAGCUCUAACAAUAUAUAUAAAGCAUCGAGAGAAGUAAAAGGAGAACGCUGUUUAUCAAUCGCGACGCUGACAAAAAAGAAACAAAUCGCUUGCAAUCAGCCAACAGCUGAAUAGCAGGGAAGUAGAAAUAGGCACAUCAGCAACCGGCCGCAAAGUGAGCGUCCUGGUGAUAUUCAGAAGAAGAGAAGAGAAAGAGAGAGAGAGAGAGAGAGGAAGAGAAGAAGAAGGAUCGCCCGAAAUUUACACGAGACGAUGUGUCGUAUCGCCACUCGUAGCGGAAGCCUUGAAAUUCGGCCAAGUUUGAUUGAAAUUUGGCAUCUCGCGCGGUCUUGGGGGUGCAAGAGGACAGGAAGAGGGAAGGCGGGCGGCGAGUGAAGAAUCGCGAUAAUAAAAAAGAUCGUUAUUACAAGCCAACGCGAGAAAAAUGCGCCGAGCGAGGGCUGGUCCGAUGUCGUUCCGCCUGAACGCACAGGUAGUUGUUCCGCGCAAUAAGGGGGUGAGGAAUGCCAGGGAACACGGGGCGGGGGCGGUCUCGAGUGCAACCGGAAGGGGACGAGAGCGAACUUACGAGUGUCGCACAAAGAGACGUUGGCGGAAAUGCAGCGGCGACGGCGAUGGCGACGACGACGGCGACGACGACGACGGCGGACAUCGACGGCGCGGCGAAUGGCUCUCGGGAUUUGAAAACGAGCUGCUCAAAAAUUCGAUUACCGUUGCGAGGGAGGAGGGCCCCGGACAGCGGAGGAGAAGAGACGGGGUGGAUGGUCCCGGCUCCGGAAAUGGGAGCGCGUCUUCUGAUUGGUCGGGUCGGGAGGAAAUCGCCUCGAGAUUGGUUAUUAUUACCCCGUUAACGCAGUUACCGUCGCCACCAAUCGCGCUCCCAAUCAUCUUCGUUAUCGAACCCUUCGGAGCUCGCGCGACGAAAUCGCCUUCCUCCUGGGGCUCUGCCUGACUCCUUCGACCCUUGGUACACGGGCCCCUCUCCCGUCCCCCGCUGCCCGCGGCCAUCCGACGACGCUCUUGCACGCGCGAUCGACUCUCGGAUGCUCGCCGUCGAGUCGGAUGGAAACCGCGAAUUUAUAUGUCUCAUCAUUGGCUGGAAACGCUUCUUAUUGCGCUUGUUAUUGCAUACAUGUGGUAGGAUUUAAGGAUGCAAUAUAUAACGUAAAAUAUUAAAAAUUUCUUAACUCGUUUUCCAUUUAUUGUUCCACUUUAUUAAUUUUCAAAAUGUUAAUAUUUUAUUUAGAUGUGUAAAAAAUGUAUCUAUUCCCAUUUGCGCAUAUUCGUGUCAAAUUAUAGCAAAAAUAUGAUUCUAUUGUUGUCAUCUGCUUGUUCAGAACGAAUUUCAGGAAUAAAACAAAUUGAAACAUAAAUAUCUCCGGAAACAAAUAUCCCCGACGUCGUGGCGUGCCAACAUGCAGCUGGAGAGCGUAGAUAAGCAACGACGCGGUAAUCCUGGGACAAUGUAUAAGUUAGCACGGCUAGACAUUGCAUAUUACAUUAACAUUCUACCAAGAAAAUAAAGAUAAAAGAGAGAACAGUAGAGAAUUUCAGACUUCUAGGCCAGCUUAAAUAGUUCAACAGAUCUCAUCAUGGAGGCCUAAAAUUAUAUCUAAUAUCUAAAAUUAAUUUAAUAAAUUUCGUCUCUCGUCCAUAUCAAUCUUAAAAUAUAUUUAUCUUGUUAUAAUUACAAUAAACAGUAAUGAUAAAAAUUACUCUUUGUAAAUUGCAAGAUUACUCUUGAUAAAUAAGUGCACAAGAUAUGUGCUAUUUUCCACAUGUGCGUGAAAACCGGCGAUGCGUAAUAACGAAAAUAAAUUCGACACGAUCAUUGUGCAUUUCCGCUGUUUAACAAACCCGAUAAAACUUCCUUACACACUGAAUAAAUUUACAGUUGUGCAGGUUUGCGUUACGCGCUGUUAUUAACGCUGCAUUUCGGCAUCGCGAUCGGAUAGCGAGGAGAAUUUCAUAAUACAUCCGCGUCUAAAAAAAAAAACAGGAAAAAAAUUCUGCCAGGAGAAAGGAAUUUUUCAGAGCGCUUCGCCUCCCAUGCGUUCCGCGGACGCACAAUGUCUAUUAUAUCCACAGCAGAAAAUGUCGAUACUAAUAAUAUCCGGCAGAAAUUGGAUAUGCCGCCGUGGAAAAAGGAAAAUGGGAGGAAGGAUACUCGUUAUAACGAAACAAAACGCCGCCACGAUUGGAAGAGCGUGGUGAACGGGGACCGCCGUGACUGAUGGUAACGAAAUCCGUACGGGCAAAUUGAAUUAUAAUUAGCACACUCGCGACUCGGGGCGACGCGGAGAGCGAAGGGCCAGGGAUGCCUUUUGUCUUCAAUAACGAACCAACCGUCUCGGCUCGCGGAUAAAACAAGAUUUUAACGCCGAUAUUAACGCAACUACCAGUGAAACUGCAUUACUCGCAGUAAGCGCGAGAUCAAUUAAAUAAUUCGUUUCUUGGAAAUCAUUUUGAUUUAAGGAAAGAGGAAAGUGCCUUUCGAGUCGAUCGCUCUAUUUCGAAUGCUGCGAGUCUUCUACGUUGAUUCUAAACUGGAAGUUGCGUUUUCAUCUCUCAAAGUUGGAUGUAAUUACGAUAACAAAGCUUGUUUUAGAAUGCGUGCUGAAUAAUUAAGAUUUACGCGCGAUCAUACAGAAGAUUACAGAAGACCUUAAUUUAUGAACCAUGAUUUCCGUAACGAUUCCUUCGGAAUUCACGUCGCCAACCGCCGCGGCCGUCAGCUUCGAGCGGCUUCAAUCGAUUUACAGCGACGUCGCGUUUUUCUCUCGUCCUACAAAUCGUCCCGGAGAGAACGCCUGCUAAGGGACAAUUAAUCAUCCGACGAAAUCCAGCGGAUAUCAUUGUAAUGAGUGCGCAAGAGGCACGAGACUGAAGUGCGUGCGGUCGCGAUGGGGUAUCACGACAAUUUCGGAUAGGCUGACAAACGGAGUGACAUUGCGUAUUCUUUGUGUGAUCCGCCGAUCAGUUCUCCCCUCUGAUACAUCUAUUUACCUGCACAGUUACCAGGAGACCGAGCCGAUAGCGACGUCAAGGGAUCCUUUCCUAACAGAUCGACCGAACGCAACCUAAAAUUAGCGCACGCUAACAUACAUUUGCUUCUUUUACAUGGAAUUUUAUUUCCCAAAUAAAGGAAGCUUCAGGAAGCUCGAAAGCAAGUUUUUGGUUUGAACUAAUUGCCUCCGUAAGCAGUUAAAUAGAACGUGUCUAAUGGAAGAGAGAAGGGAAACGAGCACAGAAUGCGUUGCCCGAUAUCGUAUGUCUGGUCUGCCGUUUUCCUUCGCACGAUCAAUUAUGAUGGCGAGAUAGCCACGCGUUACUACCACAGAUAAGGGAGGGGAAAGAUUACGCUUUGUACUUAACAAAUGCCACAAUGAUUUACGACGUAUUCCGUGGUGUAUCGUGGAUUUGUCGUGAAAAGAAGUCACAGUUAUGAUGAUGCGACGCGAUGCAAGAGAUUCAUGAUGUUGAGAUAUCGCGAUGAUAGACAGAAUAUUUACGAUGUUAAUAGUCACGCGGUAAAAACGUUGUCCCGCGUGAUUAAGAGAUUGUCAGCUGGAAAACGAAACAUUCCAGCGAUAUUAUGCGAGGAGACUGCAAUCUCGGAUAAUCAAUGUUUCGAGUUGAGUCAUACUCAAAGUAGCAUCGUGCUCGGAUUUUUCUUCAGUUGAGAUCAUAAAUAGAAACGUUAAUCUAGUUAUUUUUAAUUGAAACGUGAAACACAGCGUCUUACAAUGAGAAUUGAAAUAGCAGGAAUAUCACACUUUUUCGUCUGCUAUAUAGUGACAUUACAGAUAAUAACGCAAAACUGUAAUAAUAAGCAAGAAAUAUAAAUGAAAAAGGAUAUAAUACAUAUAAUAUAUAUAAAUAUAUAUAUAUAAAACGUAAAUUGCUUAUACAAAAAGGUCGCAAAGAAACCGCAAGCUCACAUUUAUUAAUGUAAUUAAUGUCCCAAGCUUAAUUAAGAUUGAAGCAGCGCGGCAAAGCUGCAGCUUACGUUCUCCCGUUAUAAUCUCAUAACCGAAUAUAAGCAGAAAUAUUUAACGUAAUGGCUUCGCGCAGGGAAUACAAUAAUAAUACCUGCAGGGCUAUGAAAUUAGUUCCACGCAGAUAAUUCUCAAUUGUUCAGCUUACAAAGCGAUACUUCGAUCGAAUGGCGAAAGCUGAACGCCGAAGCUCAGUAAAUACGCGAUGAGGGCUCGAUUUCAUGCGUACAAUUCGAACCUUUCGGCAGGGUAACUGGACAACAAUGUUUAAUGGUAUAAUGAUAUGCAAUUAUCGCAUCUAUCCGCUUGCAUGGAUUAUUUUUGCACCCAUGAAUGUAAUGCAAACUAGGUAACGCGAGAAACAAUAGAGAUAUCGCAAAGCAAUUUUUUUCCUAUCUGUUUAUUUUUCACUCAAAUUGCAAAGCUCGAUUUCGAUACGAAGUGUAAAACAAACAAGUUCAGCAUGGAGAACUCGAUAAAUAUGUGAUGAGCAACGUAUUACAGUUCUCGAUUCGAACGUAUUACAGUUCUCGAUUCGAACGUAUUACAGUUCUUUUUCUUUCUCGCUGGCCCUGCCGCUCAGAAUAAUCCAGAUAAGAGCAUUACGAUUUUCCAGAUCUAAUUGUAAAAGUUGAAAUCGAUAUAAUGACUGUAAUUCCAAAAGAUUCCGUCGGGAUUUCGCUGGAGCAUGUAAGAUGGAAAUCGAUCUCGAUAAUAGCACGGUCGCGCGCGAGGUUGACGGGGCCGAGAUAAAUCUCAGAAUUUAAUAUCCUUCGAGGAGGUACGUGAUAUUUUCGUAAAAUCCCUGCUGCUGAACGUCGUACCGAUGACUUCUGCGGGGGUUUUUGUUUAAAAUCACCGAAGAGUGGAGCGCCGCGCCUCACAUGACGGCUGCACCACGGGAAGAAGGGCGCUUAUACGUGUCUGCGCGUAACGACGACAGACGGAGCAAGAUGGAGAGGACGAGAAGGAGAAGGAUUAUUGAUGGGCCCCGAUAGAUAAGACGCGAGGGUGAACGAAUCGCUGCUGGUGUAAUUACGAAAUGGCUGUUAGAAACGCCGGCGGUUACGCCGGCGUGAACCUAUCCAUCAUCCUUCGUCGUUCUCCGCGGGGUGGUGCAGAACUCCCCCGCUUCCCCCGGGCACUUCGCCCCCCUUUACCCGGGCUGUCGGCUGAUUUCAUUUGCGCUUUAACGCCUUCCAGAUGAUCAGGGGAUCGCACGGCGUAAUUACCAUGAAGUGGCUUUCACCGGGCUGCGCCCGUCGUUUUAUGCCCUCCGCGCGCGAGAGUCAUUGUUCGUAGAUCGCCUGCCUUCCUCCCUGUCUCACCCUCACGCUUUCCGCCACCUCCCCGGUAGAGAUUGAUCGUAGAUCAUCGGUGACGUUAUCGUGUCGCCGCGCGACGGUGACUGACGGAAGUUAUAGGGAAUAUCAGAGGGGACAGGGAGGCCGGGGGCAUCGCGAUUUCGAAAAUGAAAGGCCGAAGGCUCGAUAACGCCAGUUUCCAUGAGAGAACUUUGAUAUUCUGUCCUCAACGUUUCUGCCGUGCAAUUUCCUCGCCGAAAAUUUCAAUUACUAUUCUCGAGUACCGCGAGCGAAAUGAUUGACACCAUUGUAACCACAUAUUGACAGUGGUUUUAUGAGCUCGUCUCCCGAAAGAUGGGAGAUCUUAAAAAGAGAUCAUUUGCUUCUUGAGGACGACUAAAGUUUUAUGUUAUGGCACUUGCUGCCGUAAUGAAUGUUGCUACGUUUCUCGUGGCGCGUACUCCCCUUUCAAGAAUCAGUAAUUGCCCGCCUUUAUAUGGGUUACACUAAAUUUAUCUUUUAUAUCUCAAAUACGUACAUCUAGUGUACAGAAUGUAUCUCCAAUGUUUCUGCGCUACUUCUCAAGCUGUUGCGCGCUGUUACUCUUGAUUGACGCCUCGAGAUUUGCGAAAAAUUCAUCUAUCGGAAAAUUACUUACUUCACAAGCCGAUAUUGAAUUUACUCGCACAGACUAGUAUCACGGAUCGUACUUAUUUUCUUGAAAACCCAAUUUUGCAUAAGAGCACACGGAGAGAACGUUCCAUCGAGCGUAUCUUCUCGGAGGCAUGUACGUCGCAAAGAUUUCAUUGUUGAAAGCUUUAAUUAAAUCUCGAUCGCCCUCCGCCGAUACGAUUUACACCGGCAAACGUCGCCUCUUCCUCCUCCUGCUCUUCCUCCCGCAGCCAACGUUCCUCGACGAACUUACCGCACCUCCCCUGCGAGCACCGCCGAUGGUGGCGCAAAGUAAACGGGGUGGCGAGUGACGUGUUAUUUACCGCCUUGCUGCAAUCUCAGCUCGUCGCCUAUCCGGCAGCCUCUCACCGAACCCGUCGUUUCUCCUGCCCUCUUCCGCUAUUCCACGAUCCCGGCUUCCUUCGAGGUUCAUCCACUUCUGCUCGUCGUACGGUUAAAAGUCAGCCGCUCGCUACUUCGGCGGAAGUUCCUCUCGACGUCUCCCAUCAUCUCGUUUUUUUUCCCCACCCUCUUUGGCUCACGCUAUUCCUCGACUACCGCCGCCGCCCCGUCCUCCGUUUCCCGCGUGUUCUCUCCCCGGGUGCAAGAUUCGCACUCGCGAAGAAAUCGCGAGCGAGGAUUGUCCGCGACGGCACUCGGAUCAAAAUGUAAGAGCGAGCGGCCGGCCGGCUGAAACUUCGUGAACUCUUGGUUACUCGUAGAACAAACAAUUCGACCUUCUUGCGAGCAAACGCUGUCGCUGCGCUUGCCACGGACCAGAUCUCUUUCUCCUAUUUGUCUUUCUUUCAGGGGGAACGUUGUUCUCUUUUUCCGCAAGCGCAACGGUCGCGGCGAUGUCGGACGACAUACGUACGCUUUCAGUCUGAUGUCGGGCACGAUAUUAUUUCCAUUAAUGCGACCCACAAAAUUAACGCGCUGAGACAACCGCUGGCACACUUUCUGUCGACAGAAAUAAACGUUCCCGACGGCGACGUUCAAAAAUUGUCGUUAUUUAAACAAAGGACGAAAGCUGACUUCGUUGUGCGGAUAAAACGAUGUCUUUAAGAUAAAGACGGGCAAGCUUGUUGGAAGCGGACGAAGAUAGACAAACGCUUUUAAACGGAAAGAUUACAGAGUAUUAAUCAAAAAAUACGUUUUACGCCAUGUCAAAAAUAAUGGCCACGUGGUAAUAUUUAUUGAUUGGCGAUAACUGACGCGUGAUAACGCUGACAGGCAUAUUUCUCUUUUAUUCUGUUUCUGACAUAUGUCAGAACAGAUCUAUGAAUUCCAACCGGGUAAAGUCGGCUUUUUAAAUUAUUCCCGCAUCGGACAUAGUCUUCCCAUGUCCGAUUGCACCCUCGGCCGUAACGCAAGAUUUACAAUCCCUAAAUUAACAAGAAAAUAAGGAGAGAAUACUAGUGAGAACGAAGAAAGCGGACCAAAGCGUACACUUAAUAUAAGCCGUGUAUAAAACGUCUCGCUCGUGACGAUCUCUCAACUACCGGCUACCGUUCGCGGUCAGUUUCGGUUUUUAGGCUGACAAGGCAGAGUACAGUCACACAGAUAUUAAUUCGGAGCAUUGCAUCGACCCCUUUUCCCAGCUUUCCUCCUUCGGACGAGCGCGCCCGGUCGGAGCAUUGGGCGUUUAUCACCGUCGCUUGUUCCAGGCGAUGCCGACACAUAAGUCAGAAUGAUUAACACGCGAGGUGUGCGUGACUGGCUCCGAGCGACUCAAAUUUUAUUCACUUCUCGCUCCCUCGCGUUCUCCCGUCUUUUUGCAGCAUCGACCUACUCGCUCGCUCUGCCUGCUCGCCCUCGGCCAACCACGCCGGCAGUUAAGGUCGUGAAGUUUAAAUUGCCACGUGCCCGCCACCCCGACGAGUAAUUAAGGCCUCCUCCGGAGCUCGUCGAACGUUCCUCAUCCAUGUCGCGGACUUUCUUUCGAUAACGUCAACGGAACACCUAAGUGGGCGCGAACGAUCGAGAUUUAUUCGCCGUGCGGUCAACUGCUGACAGAUCCCCGCGACGAUCGCGAUCGGAGUGUUCACAGCGAGCUCUCGUUGCGUAAUGGCGACCUCGUUUCCUAGUUAUCUCAGAAUUCCAUCGAACUUUUGUCUGUCUGACGAUGGAUGGUAAGUAUAUGAGAAUUGAAUAUCACGCCAUUCGCUGCUGCGAAGAGAAGAAGACAAUCGAUUCCGGAUAACAGGCGUAGGAUAACAGCAUUGCAACAAUAUUGUAAUAUGUAUGACACGUAAUAGUAAUGUAAUGAUAUAUAAAGGAAUAUCGAGCAAUGCGAGUAACGCUCAUGUGGGACGAGAUGUAACAAAGCGAUCCAGUAACAGAAGGAAGUCCCGUGUUACAUUGAUACACGGUGUACAUACACGUGACAAGGAGAGCGCGCCUGAAAUCAUUACAUCUUCAAACAAGCGGGGGUGGAUUGCGCCAUGUGCAAUUACUUCACUUGCUGGAGUACCAUCCAUAGGUAGAAUGAAAACAUACCUCAGGGAACGUAAUAAAGAUUCCUGCCCCGGCAAUUCCUUGGAUUUGAGGGCUCCUUAGCCGUGGAAACUCGGGAAAUCGAGUGGUUUCAAACUUCCUUUAACUACACUUGGCUAACGUAUACUAACGCGUAAGUAUAUAACGUCAAAUAUCGCGGUGUACCUUGCACACGCUGCAGUCUCCCUGCAGUAUACGCCGAGUAUUACCGCGGCGAUACGCUAUAAGAAGAUACGGUUUCGUCGGACCAACCGAAAAGCCACUCACAGCCGUGGAAUGUAAUAAUACGUACAUAUAUACAGCGUGUUUCUGCUCCCAUGGUGAGCUGCACGUCGCGCAGUAUCUUGCGCGAAAUAAUUACGACGAAGUGCACACCGUUCCGUUACGAUAUCGCGCGUUACGUUGCAAGCGAGCACGGAUUUAUUCCGCGUGCGCGCGUGUUCAUGAAAGACUCGAAUCGCUCGCUAAGAGGCGAUCAAUGGCAAGGGGAUAUUUUCGAUUCGCAUUGCGGAUUGUAACGGCGGCGGGGUACGUUUUAAAUGUCUGUACGAUUGAUUCCGUAGAUAUAUCCGCAAUAUGGUAAUCCGCUUUUCGCGCGGCACAUCGCGCUUUACGGUAAUCUCUCCCCCUUUCCUCUCUUCAUCUCUCUUCCUUCUCUCUCUCUAUUGCUUCCCUCCCUCUUUGUCUCUCCUUCUCUCUCGUAUUUGCUUAAUGUAUAAGCAAUUUCCGCGUCGGAGGCGCCACAGACAGUUUCCUAUAAUAACCCACUUACUGCGGCCCGACGAUGAACUAUUGUCGCGACUCGGCCAAUUCCGCCCGGAAUUGCGACUACCGCACAAUCACGAGACACCUCGAGGCAUCUUGACCCAGAAAUCGAAGCGUGCCUCUUGCGCAUCACCAGGACAAACGAAACGAGCCGGAGGAUGCAAACGGACCGAGGGACGCUUCGAAAAUACGAUAAACCACGGAGCGGUCGGGACAGUACAUAUCCCGCUCGGGGUAAAUCACAUGACGGAGAUGGGAGGUAUUAGGUGACGUGCCGGUGGCUAGGAUUCACAAUAAUCCCGAAUCGACGCUGAGUAAUUUAGACUUCUGGUUGGAGACGGCAAUGAGAGCGUGGAAAGCACAAGCGAUGAACGCGAGUGUCACGCUCAGCAUUUUUAUCCCCUUUCUCGAUUUUUCUGCAAUUUAGACGAGAAUUUUAUAUUGGGAAUAUCGAAUCGUCUUUCAAUGUCAAUUUUGCAGCUGUUUGCGACCGUUUUGAGUUGAUCGAUUUUUUAAUCGUUUCGCAGAGACAAAACAUUUAGGUAUGCUAUGCCGGCAUGCUAUGGCUGGAAAAGCAGAGACUCAAUUACAGAUACUCCGGGUUUGAAUCACGAUGUCACCAGUGCAGAAACUUACAGUUUAAAAGUGUUAGAUGCAGCUGAGAGGGUAGAGAGAGGGAGGAAGCCGGGGGAGCGCUCCGGGCGACGGCAGUUUCGCUAUAUCCUAUCAAGGAUCGCUUUUACGGGUCGUUGCGUUCCACAAAUCGGUCGUCGGUUUUAUUGGCUCCACACCCAUGACGACACGUGGUCGCGUCUCGCUGCGUUUCGCCUCGCGGAAACAGCGGUUUUACGCAUUUCACGGUAAAGGGAUGACGGGGGCGCAGGGGUGGCUCUGGAAAAGAGACUAAAAAACAGCGGGGUUUGCGGCAAGCGUACAUCCGGGGAUCGCUACGAGCGUUCGUAAUCAACGACGUAUUAAGCUCUUUGCACGUCGAACUUCGCUGAACACCCUUCCACCCCCUCCUCUUGGAUUCAUAACGCAACUCAUCAGGCAAAUGCACGAUCGAUAUCGCGCACUGAGCACCGGGAACUGCUACCGCCGUCUAAUAACAUGGCAAAUAUCGUAUCUUACCCCGGACCUUCCUCGCUCCACCAUCCCUCUUAUAUGUCUCUACCCUCUUCCCAUCCCUCGAUCCUGAUCGAACAAAUGCGGCUAUCAUAUUUGUUCGGUCAAUGUGACUGGCGCACCAAGCCAUUCCAGGACGGACGGACGGACGACCUGUAUCCUGAAUCAAUAAUCGACAUACACGUUCCACGUUUGGUCGCGAUGGAGGGUAUUUUAACGGCAGAUUCCCCGAAUCCGAAAUCGAUUCUCCCCUCGCCCCUCCGUUUCCAGCGGAGGUGAAAACCGACGUAAAUCCAACGAAUUUCAGGUUUUCCUGAUCGCCCGUACGCGAGAGCAAGUCCAGUGGCGCAUGAGAAGCCAUAAGCACGAAAUCAAUUUGAUGAUUUCAAAGCGUUAAGUUUUAUAAAAGUUUGGAAUCAAUGAUAAGUCUUAAUCAUGAGCGAUUAAUCCGCUUACACACUGCUUGCUUACUAAUUCCUGCAAUUAUUUGCAACUGUGGAAACGCAACGAUGCGGGGGACAUUUCCGGUGUUCGCAGCGUCGAAAAUUAGGCCUGCGAAAUGACCCCGGGCCUUUCGAACCCCCGGGGCAACCAACCUGGUUGUCGCGGUCGCGAUCGGCACACCGGACACGUAUGCGCGGGCAGAAACGCAAUCAGCGAAUUCAUAAGACACUAAUGCCGUGAAUCGCACGUGGCGAACGAUGGACGAUGUGAAUAGCGCUAAUCGCUCGUCAUAAUAACACCCGUGUCACCCUGUUACUCGCGCCGGGUAUUAUCCGGCGAUAAUCAACGGCCCGUAAUUGCGGGGUACUCCCAUUUGCGAGGUUAAUUGUUCUGCUACGAUGAUUAUCGGCGCUGUUACUCGUGUGUUUUACACCCUUAACGAUUCGCCUCCAACGCGCGCGGCUACGUCACGCGGCUGUUUUCUUACGAUGCCCGGGAUACAUUAAUUGCCAUUACGAACGGCGCCAUUAUCGCGGCGCGCAUCGCGCGAAAUCCGAUCGUGCCGAUAUCGCAGCUGAUACUGUAUAAUAAAUCCAUUUGUCAAGCGUAUCUCAAGCGUGAUAAUUAAUGGCGAUGUACGUGAGAUGCAAACUGUAAGAUACGAUCGUUGAUGCGAUACAAUCUGGGAAAGCGAUGUUUUAAACAAUUCCGCAAACAGGAAUCUACAUUUGUAAUUCUUCUAUCGAUUCGAUCUUUUAACGUCUAUGUCUAUUUGCCGUAAAAUGUUUUGAGGUUGCAUCAUUUAAAUAAAAAAACCAUUUUAAAAAGUGCUAGACUUGUUAAUAGUAGACUGUUCCUCCGUUUUUUUCCUUUUUGGAGAUAGUCGGCGAGGGAUUUUCAAAAGGGGAGCUUCGCGGUAGGUAAAAUGACACGGGACGAACGAUGUCAAAUAACCGUUCCGGUAAGUGACGACACGUUUCGCGUACGCAGUUGGAGAUUUUCCGGCGCGCUUGCUUCCGGGGGUUCGCGCAGUUGCAGGCCGUCGUCAUCGAGCGAGCUGCGGCGGGCCCGAUUUGUUAUUUAUCAGGAAUCUUGUCGCCGAGAAGCGGCCGCAACUGUCCGGGCUUGUUCCGUUUCAGGGUUGGCGACGUCCGAGUUCAUUACGGGUGGUCGGUGUAACCGCUCCGUGUAUGCUCCGGCAUCGCCGGGAACCGGGAUCCCUAGGGGGGGCCUGCACGCCUGAUGCUCGCCUCUCCAUCGCCCUCCGGCCAGCCCUCGCCACCCCCGUUUUCCCCGCGUGCUAUCCCGCCAACGAUCGCCGCAGCCAACACAUUUCCCGGUACGCGCGUUAUGAUAUUGCUAUAUUAUGCUAAUUACGCAGUGGCCGCUCACGGUCAAUGGUGCAUACUAAUGGCCAUAGUCGCGCAACGAGGUGCCAUUGCGAUUGAUCAAAGCUGCUCUGGUUAUGCUAAUUCGAGCUCAACCUGGCGAGCGCAAAGCGCGGAGAGCGACGCGAGGGAUGGACGUAGGGUGGGAGGAGAUGAUGGAAGAUGAUGGAAACGCGGAAACGCGGAUGAUGACGAGGACAAAACGAUCCCGCGAUAUCAAAGGGAUCAUUAUAUUAUCGUUUUAUUACUGCGACUCAUUAAUACGUGUAGUAGCUUAUUAAUACAAAUUGAAUUGAAUCUACGGAACAAGAGCGGUUCCUCUGUUGUAUUAAUGUUAAAACCUCGCCAAGUUUAGCGUGACUCACUUCUCAGAGGGCUCGAUUGCAAGCAAAUAAAUUGGAUGUUUCAUGUAAUUCAAGCUUCAAGCCGUCGUUUCUUGUGUAUCGCGGGCUAAUGUUUAACUUCAAAUAAAGAACUUAACUACGAGAAGCAAGCAUUUUGGAGCAAAAGUAGAGCUUCUGAGCCGUUUGCUCAAAGUUACAAAAUCUAGGCAUAUCUUUGUGGUUUGAAAGCUGCAAAAUUGUACCUGAUUUCUGGAGCAUCCAACGGAUCAAUAUAAAGAAAUAUAAAGAAUAUGCCAGGCGAGUUUUUCAAUCCAGCUGUAUCAUGUUACGGGGAAAAUAUCGCGCCAACCGUAAAGUUGUAAAAGCUGCUUUAAAAGAUGCGCAGGAUGAUAAACAAUCGCCCAUUUCCAUCUGUCAGAAACAAAAAGAGAGACGUAUACGCGUGGAAGGAAAAGUGCGAGAGGGAGGCAGAGGGCGGAAAGCAGCCUCCUGACAGCAGAAAUCGGAGGAGAAGGGCGCGGAGAAAUGGGGAAGCCAUGUCAGGAGGAAAAUCUUGGUGCUUUAGGCGGCGUUAUCCGAAUGUUUAAUUAACACGUGAAGUAACUUAAUAACUAAUAAGUCGCUCGACGGAGAGACGCCGCCGUUUCCGCGCUCGUUCGACGAGCAUCGUGUCGCCCGGUGAUUACAGACUAAUUGAAAAUGAUGAUGACAGCGAAGGAGCAGCAGUCUACUCGAAACGACGCGAAGCUCUGCUCCUCGUGGGCGCAAUGAGCGAAAUCGUCAAUUUAAAUAUGAGGGAAGAGCGCGGAAAUAACGAAAUGUAAUCAAAUCUGGGCGAGAAGUAAAGAAAAGAAUUUGAUCCCUUUAUACUUUCUAACGAAGAUGGAGUUUCUAAGGACUUAUCCUUCCACUUACAUAUCCGUGAUAUAUUCUUAAGCCAUAAUUAUAUAUUUCGCUGUUAUUCUAAAAAUAACUUGAGCGAAUUUCUUAUUUCUCAUUUUGUGUAACAGUUUCUUACAUCGUAUUGAUCACUACACCGUAACACAGCCGAACUAACGGUUUGCCGUCUUGCGGAAAUAAUCGCAAAUUUCUGAUAUGGCAGUAAAAUUUUAUUUUCGAGCUUUCAUCCGCAUGGAUUAGCGAUUUUGCCCGCAGUUUCGCCUCGCGUGCGCUAUCGUACUUUUCACGAUUUCCAACUUCCCUCUAUCGCGAGGAAAAGUGAGCGUGCAAGGCGAACGAGACGGUGGAUGCACAUCAAAUUUUAUGCGAGCACAUUCAUAUGUCCGUUAUGUUAAUAAUUUCUAUCGUUCGGAUUUUUGGCGAAAGCAGCCAAAUUCUAGAGAAAUGUGUUUUGCAAGGUAGAUAAGAGUAACAGAAACUGAAGCAUAGUCUCUUUCUAUUUAUAAAUACAAGAUAUUAUUUCUAGCCAAUCAAAGUUGUUUAUAAUAUUUAUGUAAGAACAUAUUAUAUUCGAACUUCUUCCAUUGUGAUUAAUAUUUCAUAUGUUAUAACUCUCUCUCUCUCUCUCUUGGCGAAUACGAUAAUUAUAAUUCAACAAGAUUGCACACGUGAACGUGCAUUGCAAAAAGAUAGAUAAAAAAAAUAAAGGCAUAAACGUUACGCGUGUCAGCGGUCAACGGUCGGGAAUAUAUUAAUUUGCUCGAUUUGCGGAAUCGCGAAUCAAUGCGAGCGAAACGAAUCGAGAGUCAAGUUUAAACGGGCGCAGCUGCGCUCUGCACGGAUCACAAUUCCUCCACCUUUCCACCCCUUGCGACUUUCAUAAUGAGUCCUCAGGUCGACGCAUGAAUAAGGCAUUAGGAAUAAAUUCGCCGUAAAGACUGGCGGAUUAUAUCGCUCUGGAUAUUGCGUUCGAAACAUCCUAGCCGAUCCGCCGACCGCGUAAUUCGAGCAGAUUCAUGAGACGAGCCUUCCUCUCGGAUCGAUAGGGCUCUCCCCCCCCCUCUCUCUCUCACACACAUACCAAACACACUCUAUCUCUUACAAUUUGAAGUGGUUUCGCCCACGGAAGAAACGCGCCCGGUACACGUCGCGCGGUCUAAUGUAAUCGCGUUUACGACGCUACGUGUCGCGCGGAUUCCGCUUGCGAAAUCGAGCGGUAAAUAUUUGAAACGACCCGUCAUUAGGCAUUAGCCGAGACCCGUCGGCGAGCCACUCUUAAGCUUCCGGGCCUCGAAGAGGAAAUCCCGGCCUCUCGGCUCGCAACGACCGGCGGUCGUGCAUCCUGCAGGAAGCGGACACUAACGCCUGCCACGAUCGUUUCAGGAGUUUGCGACGAGGACAGAGGAGUGGAGGAGUGGUCGAAGAGGGAAGUCGACGAGUUACAACGGAACUAACACGCCACCGGAAUCGCCACUAAAGCCGUGGAUCUCGGAACGGCAUUAAGCGACCACCGUCAUCGUGAUCGAUGUCAAUGCGACGGUCCUUCGCCCAAAUGCCCUCGACUAAGUCCUUUUAUAUGUGGGCGAUAUUUUGUUAACAGAUUUGGGACUAUGUAAUUACUCGUGAGAUUAAGCCAAGUCGUCCACAAUAUAUGAAUGGUCCUCAAAGCGCAAAACUACAGAUUCAAAAUUAACGUUACCAUAAAUAGCAUGUAUUAUACAAUGUAACAUAAAAAUUUAUAUAUUCAAUGUAUUUUGUACAUGCUCUAUUUUGACCACUUUAUAAUUUCAACAAGUUCAACUUGCAUUUCUUUUUUCGAUUCAAGCCGCUGCUCGUAAAACUCAUUUACGAACGUGUGUUAAUUUAAACAAAUAUGCAUGAAUCUUUCAACUUCUUUUUCCAUACAUGAUAUUCAGACACCUUGCUAAUUUCCAAAGAAAUGCCGUCUUCCAAAAGAUCCUUCGCAAAACACUACGUCAUGGACAGUAGAGGCAUUAGAUCUCGUCGCGAUCGAGAGUGACAAUAACCAAUCGCGACGCAGCAAGAAGGCAGCAGGUACCAGGGUGAGUGGUGAAUCCCAGCCGGUGUUCCAUGCGAGAAAAGUUUGAUUCGUUUUUCCGUGCCGCGCGAAGACACCUACGUCACCGACGUAUUUUACGCAAAGUUUCCCGGCAACGGCAACAACUUCUAUUAUCUCGAAAUUCCUCGUAUCGAAAGUCGAGGAGAGAAGAAUGAGGAUCGCGGUGCCAUGGGAAAGAGGGUGAGAAAGAGAGAACGGGGAAGGGUUUCUCGGGCCCAGGAUAUACCGGGAAGACAGCGGCCGAGAGAGCGGCGGGGUCGAGGGUUAGACAGUUCUUGCACUGUCAAUAACACUCCCCCGGGGCGUGAUAGAUUGGCCCACCCUCGCCAUCCGGCCACCAUUUAUCUACUUUUUGUCCCGCACACUUUCGUCCCGUGGCCACCGUUGCCAUCGGCGGUGCCGGGGGGGUGUUUACCGCCGCGGAAACUAGAGGAGAGAAAGACUACCGGCGGAACCCUUCGCGCUUCUUCCUCGGUGCUUCGUCCACGUUUCGCAAAGUCUCUCCGUUAUGCGUCCGCUCAAAUCGAGGGAGGAUUUCAGUCGACUCGGGUCAGAAAUAGAUCUAAUUAACGGAUUCGAAUUAAUUAGCGCGAUCGCCCCUGCUGUUUGACUUCACAAACCGCAACUGACUGUAAUUACGCAUUGUCACCUUAAUGUUUACGACGAUCUAUUUUUACUCUCUCGGAACCGUUCAUAUCGUGAACAAGAAAGAAAGUUUUGUAACUUUGUGGUAUUUUUUAUACGUUUAAGCCUUUAAUGUGUGUCACGAAGUCAUAAGUCUAGUAUUUUAUUUUCUGACGCAGCUUUUAUAAUUAACAUCAUAAUUAUGUAAUGCAAGAGAAGAGAAAGUGAGAUAGGAAUAUAUGUAAUUUUAGAUUUCAAUAAAUUUGUUGAAUGUAUAGUACUACAUUUCACUUCUUUAACCGCGGAAUUCGCUUUCCGGGACGCAUAAGAAAUAAUAUUCUUAAUAAACGAAUUUCUCCUCGGAAUUUCUCCUACAAAAGUUUGCGAGAGAAUUAAGGACUUGAGCUAAGUUGGGCGGGAAAAAGAUCUAAUUAUCGGAUUCGAAUUAAUUAACGCGAUCUCCCUGCUGUUUCACUUGAGCCGAAGGUUGGUGAUGAUUGUAAUUCAAUAAUUCGUCACCUUGAUAUUAUAAUUAAGGGUAAAGUCAAUCGAGAUAACUUCAACGGCGCGACAAAUGCAACGCUCGAUGAUUAUCAAUGACAUUUACUUCGAAUCUCGCUACUCAUCCUCCUUUCCUCCGUCACGAGUCGAUCAAAUUGCGAUCAGGCGCAAUGAACAUACGGCAAAAACACCGUUCAUUAAUUCAUCGAAAUUAAGAUUCGGUACGCUGACGGAUUAUCGAGAUCAAUUCCGCGACAUACCUGCGGUGGCAAUCUAAUCCCAUCCGCGUGAACAUCGUAAGGGGAUAUCCGCGGGAUAACUUCGCCAAGUUCGAUUCUUGCCGAUAAGAAAAACGGAAGAGAUCUCUGAAAAGCCUGAAAUUCAUUGGCGAAUAGUUACAGGAUACCCGACAUUCCCGACGUCGGCGUGGUCGAAUCAGGAGAGGGACGCCGAUUGAAAAAGUUUGCACCGACUCUGCCUCUUCCUCUCUUUCUCUCUCUCUUUAGCUCUCGCUCUCUGUAUCUCUACCUCUCUUCCUCUAUUCUUCUCUUUUUCCCCGUGCUCUCUCCCACGAGGACAGGGAAUUCGCUCGCGCGGAGGGGGCAAUGAUAGAUAGAUAUCUUUCGAAAUAUCGAAAGCCAUCAAGUGAAGCAUGAAGUUCCGGCAACUCGAAAGCAAGACGCUCACCUUGGAAGGAAGUAGCGAGCCACGCUCGGCCAACCUGACCCUUCUGCAAUUAUAUCUAAUUAGAGAAGACUAACGGGUCUCAGUCUCAACAUCGAUUUCUUCAGUCGUGCCCUCGGUCGCCGCCAAAGCCUUUGCCCCUGUCCUCUUUGCGCGCGUCAUUUCGAGAUCCUUACGGUAUUUGAGACCCUACCCGUGAUCAUACUCCACAUCGAAUUAAUAAAACCUAACGAGCCGAGCUCCGCGAAAGCAUCCCGCCCAAUUACGUUAUUUUCCUGAAAUGUGCCUUCGUCUUUUAUUCCCAGCUUUCCUCCCAUGCAGAGAUUUCUGGAUGAAAAGUUAUACUUACGCUAAUAGCAUUAUUCUUAUCAUCAUUACUUGACAGUAUCAUAUAGAAUAAUUUCACUUUUAAAUUUGUUUAGAGCAUCAAUUCAGUUUUACAAAAUUUUUUAAAUUUCUAGUAACGCCUUCGCGCUAUAUCAAAAACAAGUUUGAUAUUGCGAUAAUUCUGAUAUGCGGCACUUGACGACAAACGUGCGCUCAAGCGUAGAAAAGUAACACAUGUUCGAACAUAAUGAUAUAUGACCAGAAUGAUUAGUUUCUCGAGAAAAUAGUGCGGAUCCAGGAGAGAAAAGACAGCAGGAUUCAUGGCGUAGGCGGCGGAAAUGGUAGAUCGUCGGUGGAACGCCAAGUUGAUAAUUGGAAAUUCAUGAAAUUCUCAAAGUUGUUCUAAUCUGUUUCACCCCCGCACACAACCGUCUGACCUCGCUGCGUAGCCACAAACUGUAAAAGAUUAGGAAACAUGCUUCCAACAACCUCCAUUUCCGUACAUUUACUUCGCUUUAAAAGAUUUCUCGAGUAAAAUGGAAUUAAAUGCAAUCUUGAUCACGUUGUAUUUUUACAUGUACGUGUAUUCGAGAAUAAUAACGUCUUUAUCAAUUAAACAUACAUUUUAAAUUCCAAUAAAGACGUGUUACUGGUCUGAGGUACGUGAUAAGAUUCCGAAAUAUGUUUCUGGUCCUUUGAAAAUGCGCGAGAACAAUUGUAAAGUGGUCGAUGCAGUGAAUAAAGUGCCCGCAUUGAACAAUUCACUUUUGAGAUACAAGCGAAACGACACAACUGAAAGCAGUUCAGUUCUUUCGCGAGAACCUUCGACCCCGAGUUAAGAACUCGGAGCAGCAGUCAACGGUAAUCUCGGGAGGAUAAUAGGUGGCCCGGGAGAGUGUAUUGUGCACGUCUUAGCCGAUUCGCAAACGAGAACAAUGGUCCGGGCGUAGGUUAAUGACCAAUCCCGAGAAGACGGGGCGAAAUUCCGACGCUAGGUGAGAAUCGGAGCCGGCAACCUCGAGGAACAACUUCCAUUGGCUAACAAGAGCUCUUUUCGAAAGCACUCAAGACUUUUAAGACAAAGUUUUUAUUGAUGUUAUGUCGCUGCAGAAAUCUUCUUUGAACUGCCACGAUGAGCUUUGUUAUGUAUCUUGAAUUAUACAUCGUGCUUUCGCGGCGCUCGCUGUUGGUUUCAGAUCCCGAUUCUUGGAUCAAUUCGACGUCGAUAGUUUCGAGGGAACUUUGCUUUCGUGGAAGUUUAAUUCAACAAUCGAUCGUCAAGACAAAUAUUGUUUUAACGACUUUCUUAACUUUCAUUAUCGCAAUUGUUAUUGCACUUUCGAUCUAGUGACCUUUCCAAUUUGAAUAAGAAAUUUUCGAAACGCUGCAGCGUAGACCUACGCGGAGGAAUUACUUCAUUCGCGUACAGUGUGUGAAGAAAGAAACUUACGGAUUAAAGUCCGCGCGGGUGGGAAUAUUAAAAAAGGCUGCCAACGCAUUUUCAUCCUAUAAGCUACGUAAGAGAAACGGCCGUAAUUAUCAGGCAGAUGUGUGCCGAAAUGAACUUCCGACUUAUAAAGUUAGACGAUUAGACUUUCCCCGGGAGGGAGACCUCGGCAGGUCGGCCGAUCCGAAGACUUAAUUAAGACCUUUAAAGGACCCGGGCGGAGGACCAUCUCUCUCGAUCAAGCGCGGUCGAAUUGCGCGCGGUAAUCACGGCAUCUCGAACGAUGGAACAGUGCGAUCGGCUCCUGCGGAGGUGGAGCGCUGGCCGAAAGAGAUAGCGGCGGUGCAAUUAAGCGUUUAAUCUGAGAAGUUCUUGGCCAGAUCGGGACCAAGAGUCCCGGGGACGCGACGUUCGGACGCAAUUACAGCGAGGUUAUCGUCGCGCGGAGCUUCGACAGCAAGAUCCGUGAGACGGGAACUCCGGCUCCUGGAGUCCAGUCCGACCGGCGGAUCUACGGGACAGGGACAUUCCAUUGUGCGCGGAAACUUCGGAAAUGAAACUGGACACAGCGGCUGAGGCUAAGGAUUUAAUCGAAGUACAGCAGGACACGGGACGACCUAAUUUUCUGAUGGCCGCGAGAUCCGUAACGCACUCAAGGAGCGGUUUAGCGUUUCAUGGUGACCGCACACCACUAUCUCGCGCUGAUGUCGGGGCGGCGAGCGCCUGGCGAACUUUCGAAAGCACGGUUGCAAUCGCCGGCUUUGAGUAAGUUGCGCUGCCGGGAUGAGAGAAGCAUUUUGGAUUUGGCGUGAGAAGCUCGUUAAAGAGUCGCUAAGACUCGUUUAAGCUGCCCGCCAACAAACUUUUAAUCUGCGGGUGUUUCAGCUAUGAAGAAUUCCAUGAAGACUUCGUUUGCGACUUGAUUACGAGAUUAAUCAAGAUUGAAUUAAAGUAACACUAGCACCGAGAUUAGUCGGAGUCCUGAUUACUUUAUUAAAGUUGUCUUAACUACUUUGAUAGCACAUAAAUUAUCAUUAUGUAAUCUACUACUGCUUAAAAGAGCGAUAUCGCGAAGGACAAGUGCGUUGAUUAAUUCAAUCUUAUCAAAUCUUUCGAAAUUUCUAGACUCCAUUUUCCUCAAUAACUCUCUAAAGAACGAUCAAGUAAUCACGCUUGCGGACAAAUCCGCCAAUUGUAUCGCAGUGUGUGUUCGUUCGGAACGGCACAUUCACCGAUGAGUCCCACGUGUGCCACUGAGCAGUUAAGAACACAGUCAAUAAGAGAGGUAUUUUCCACUCUCCCACACCUCGAAUGCUCAUCAAGAUCGAAUGUGCACUAUAGAUGCGCCCUUAGCUUCCGAUUCUCCUCUAUUCCAGGGCGGCUGGCGGAGAACGAGGAAGCGAAAAGGAACGAGACGGAAACGUCACCCUCGACGACGGCCGCAAUUGUCGUCUUAUUGGUUCAUCGGAAUCACAGAGCGACCGGUCUGACCCGACCCGGCCCGGCCCGGCCCGGGAUCGCGUGUUGCAACGUCGAUUCCGAAGGGAUGGAAGCGGGCCUCGGUGCCAGUCGGUGUUCCUGGGACGGGUUUGGGGUCCCUCCCAGGCCAUUGGUUAUUCAUGAAGCUCCGUUCGAAAUUGAGAGACACAACGAAGCUUUACCGGGGAUAGUCGAGCUAUCGAUUGUCUGGCAGUUACUUCAACGAAUACGCUCGUUUAUCCGUUUUCCCCCAUCUCCCGAGCUCGUGCGCGACCAAAGCGAGGAUCGAGAAGCGUCACUGACGGAUCGUUUAUACGCUUUCCCGAUGUGGAAGACGGAUACGAUAUAUCGACACGGCAGUUGAGCGCGGAAACGGAGACUGAUUCCGGAAUGCUGGCUCUCGACGAAAGCUGUAUGUUUAAAGGCGUAACGUGGAAAGACGCGGAGAUGAGAAUACGAAAGAGCGGAGGAUUUAUUUCAUUCCUGGUAUCCUGGUGUCCACAUGGUGGACAAUUUGCAGAGCCAACGAAUGUCUCAUUCGCGUAUCGUCAUUAAAGUAUUCUUGUGCGCGGCAUUCUGAUGCGGAUGAAGUAAUUUCUUGAAUAAUGCGGCUAUUUCGUGAAACAUACUUUUAGGUAUGCUUAGUUCCAGGUACGCGGACGAUAAAAUGUCCGCGGAUCGCGUGGUCGUUGCGAUGAAAUCAGGUGGACGACGCAAGAAAGCGAAUUUCAUAAUUCGAUAAAAAUGCUGUAUCGUUUCUGAAUGGAGACAUUUGAUGCUUCCACGAGAUUUCAAAUUCGAAUCAUCUGAUAUCUGUCGCAAUAAGAAUAACCGAACGGCGCGAAUAGCCGUGCCAUUAGAAGAGCGAUAUCGCGGAGCUCAUUGCCAUCUGAACUUUGCUCUACAUUAGCGAUUUAUAAAUAAGUUAACCGAUUUUGCCGUGAGAACAUUUGCGUCAGGCAAACGCUAAAGGUCAAAAGUAUUGGCGCACACGGUUCGAUACCGAUCAAAAUUUUAAUACUUAUAUAGUGUCAAUAAAUCUCGGCAGAUGAUGAAAUAUCUGUUGCAUCGGGCAACAGAAGUUUAAAAUUAGUUCCGCACCGAUAAACCUAUUUGAUCGAAUCAUCCAUCUUAUUGAUUAGCUGACAAAAGUACGCGAUCGUAUCGUACUUGCACUUCAACGUCUCUCUCUUAUUUUUACGUCGCGAUGUCAUUUAUUGCUUCGAUUAUAAUCUGAGUACGAACGCAAUUUGCGAGUACAUCGAACGGAUAAAUGGGUUCGCUUGAUGCUACGGUGAAUUAUGUGGGAAAUUCAUGAAAUCGAAUUUUUGAUAUGAGUAACUCCUCCGUACGAGUAAGUCGGUCUCUUUUUCACACCACGAAAUCGAUCAUAAGCGACUCAUCGUAAAAGCAUACGAAUAACAUCGCGUUUUCCUUUCUCUACUUCGCAUUAUUAAAAUCAAUGUUUAAUCUUAAUAACAUCUCGAGGUUCAGACCAAAAUUCAUGUUUUGGCUUUCGGUUAGACAUGCAGAAGCACGAUAAGACGCGAUUAAUUUAAAUGACGAUAAAUCAUGUCAUUUGAUUCGCCAUAUCGCAGCGGUAAUAAUAAAUAAUAGCGCGGCACAGCCCCGGAUUCGAAAUGGCUCUCGCGACGCCCCGUCAAAUACGGUGAAAUGCACUUUGAGACGUGUCGUGCCGGCGAAUUAUUUUCCGGUGGGUACUGGCUUCCGUAGGAAUAUCAAUGUCACGGAAUUACGACCGUCAGCGAGACCAAUGUGAGGCGCAUUCGUGUCUCGCGAAGUGAGCGGCUAAGUGAUUGCCGCCAGCGGGGGCUUUCCCACAGGAGCGCGUUCUUAUUCUGCAAUCCGGAUGUGACAUUUACUAUCAAUUUACGACGUCGCGGGCUGUUAAGCACGACCCGCGACAUAUACACGUAUACACGUGCACGCGUAUAACAAACACGUGUAUAACGCCACGUAAAGGUUACACCGGCAACUCACCUUUUCAAGAAGCGCCGUCCGCUUUAAUUUCUUUUUAAAAUUCAAUCUCUCGCUUUAAUCGUUUCUCUAAUAAAAGUGCCGUGAUAAAAUGAGCGAUGUGUAUCCAAGCAACAUCGCUUUCAUGUAUGGGACUGAAUCGCUUCAAUCGCUCAAUGAUUUUUUUUAUUACUCGGAUGCUUUGAUGUAUGGGACUGAAGUGAUGCUUAGAUUGACGCGACUCUUUUCUCGUAAUACGAAAAAGAUAUUUUUCGAAUAUUUAAUUAGAUGUUUAAACGUAUAAAUAUUUGCUUUAAUGAUCAGUGUAACAGACAAUAUACGCUUAGCGAGUAACAUAUAGAUAAAUUUUAUUAAUAUUAGAUAAGUAUUAUAUGUAUACGUACAAUAUUAUACAUAUAUGUAUAUGGAUAUUCUACACAUUUGAAAAAUUCUAUAUAUUUUUAAAAAUUAAAUUAAAUUUAAAAAAUUCUACCAAUAUUAGAAGUCGUCUGUCUCAUUAUAAUACCAUGCAGUUUAACUAAUGAAAGAGAUAAUAUAAUGUGAUAUUAGAAAUUGAAGUAUGUCUGAUCAAAUACGAACUAUAACUACUUAAUAUCAUACUAUAAUGAAGAUUUUCUUUCGUUAUAAGUGUUACAUUUUCUUUUAAUAUAUCUUUUUCUUUUCACUCUUUUUUUCUUUUCGAAACAUAAGAGUAUAUCUCUAUUUUCGAUACAAGUUAAAAAAGUGACUAAAAAUAAUAUAGAUUUAAUCGACUUUCUAUUAAUUCAGCUAAAUUAGCUCCCAGUAGAUUUUAUCGGCUUUGAAUAAUUCACCAAACGUCUCAAAAAAUGUAUGAAAGAUUUAAAAAGGAAAUACGUAUUUUAUUUGAUAGUAUUAAUGAAUUAAUGAUAGUAUUAAUGAAAGUAUCAGAAUUACUUUGUAUUAAUAAAAUUGUCUCAAUAUCUUGAAAUAAUACUGACAUCGGAAAUUAAUCUGAAAAAUAUACAUAAAAUAUUCACACAUAUUAUUUCUGUAAUAACGUUACAUUUAUAAUUUAUCAAUAAUUCAUAUCAUUAAUUGCAAAUUAAUUUUAAUAUGAUAAUCUAAUAACGCACUGCAUAUAUUUUCGUAAAUACGAGACUGCGAAUUCCUUCCACUCAAAAAAUUCACAUAAAUUUAGUAUCGUCAAAUAAUCCAAUACGAUCACGUAACGAGAUAUAACACCGCUAUCCGAUAGAUUACAAAAUCACGAUGACAAUGCAUCUCAGUAUUCGCGAAUCUGCCGGGAUAAUUCCAAUUAUAUUUCUCGUCGGAUAAAACACCCGUGCGCGAUAAAAUGAUACUCAGCCGAAACGUGUAACGCUGAUUGCACAUCCCGUAACACGAUUACGGAUCCUCGAUUAGGCAAAUCGCAGAUAAUUAAGUACACGGCGGGCGCGAAUCGCAUCGGCGAGCGUCGCGCGCGCCCUUGCAGCAGUCGCCUCUGUAAAUGAGGACAUUAUUGCGAUUAAUAAUUUUUCGGAAUUAAUUAUCGCGCCGGAGUUCGGGCGGCGCGCGCGUAACCGGCAGCAAUGAUUGAUGGAGGCUCCAUUAUGAAUCGCGCUGUGAAAUUAAUCGCUUCCUCCGCCCCGCUGCCGCCCGCCGUCCCCACGUACACACGCCACCCCGACUCACUGCCUCCCUUGACCGCGCGCGACGGAUUACGAAUGGACCGAUGAUGAAUACGCGAUUUCCAGGUUCGCCUACCCAUGGGGCCUACCCAUAUCGUCGGCACGCACCUGCCUUCCGGUGCAGACGCGGCUUUUUCUCCGCACAUUAAAUAUUCAUUAUACCCGCGGCGCGUUUCGCCGUCGUGCUUUUUACCCGGACGACCUAAUUCGCGAGAUAUUAUUUUCGGAUUUCAGCACGCGCGCGUCUCGAUUCUUGCCGUUUCUGCCGUAAUUUGGGCCUCGAAAUUUUCACUGGAGAACCACAUGGAACGGCAUAGAACGCGGUUACGUUAUAUAUAUACGUCUUACAUAUGUAUGUAUUUUGAGGUUCAUAUGUGCUAUAUGCAUCUUUAUUAGUCUUUUAUUUGCUGAUAUAUUAUAUCUCGCUUUAGAGAAGGAGGAAAAGCUCAAUAAACAUUUUCAAACGAUAAUUUCUUUCUGGAACUUUGUUUAUGACAGUUUCAACUGACUUGACUAAUUAUGACUGACACAAGAUAUUAUAUGCAAUCCUGUUAGCCUAGCAGAAACUAGCCACAAUAAUUCAGCGGAAAUCCACGGUAAGAGCACAGGCACUGACAGUAUUAUUUGACAGGAACUUAUUUUUAGAUUUGCCUGAUAACAUAAAUCAAAGGCUGCGAAGUUGCGAUAAACAAUAGCUACCAGUCAGAGAUUUUAUCAAGAGAUAAAUAAUCGCGUAUCUGUACAGUCCAAGGAUUACGUGCCCAAGCUAUGAGGCAGCCUGUAUAGGUGAAACGGAAGGGGUGGCAUUGCAGCGCGAGGGGUUUGGCCGGGCUCGUCCAAAAGCGCCAGGAGAUGCACGGGGCGGUUAGGCAAUUUUACGCUCUCCCAGUUACAAAAACCAUUUACGCUUAAAUGCCCUCGCGUCCCCCAAAGUCCCACAAACACUCCCUCGUCAACCGCCGCCUCCCUCGGUCCCCUCGCCGAAAAUUCCGCCUCGCCCGGCUAGACGUGACACGACGGACACCCCCGGGGGGUUUCGGUGUCCUGCAAACGUCCAGCCGGAAGGGGACAAAAUCGGUUGUGCAGUUCGCGAGUGUACACCGCGAUCGGGAACCAUCGAUAGCGAAACGAGAUGUCGGUAAUCCGUCGCGCGUUCUUUGCGCGCGCUCGCAAAAUUGGAAAUGUCCACCGCACGAUUUACAAUCCGCCACGUGUCGCAGCGAUUAACCCCUUCCCCUCCCCGACAGACUGGUAAUUUUUGCUCGCGUGCCGAAUGAUGGAACGAACCGAGUGACACAUAUGUGUCCUCCGCGUCAGCUGGAAGGGUUAAUCAGGUGUCACGCGAUGUGGAAUCGAGCGAGUGCAGCGGCGGGAUUCAACGACCCGAACGAGACGAUCGCGCGAACUCGCAAUUUAUUUAUUCAUUUAUUUUUAUUAAUUUUUAUUUAUUAUUAAUUUUUAUUUAUUUUAUUUUAAAAAAUGCACAAAUGGAAUAAUACGUGCAGAGAGAUUUGUAGAUUGCAACGUUGUGUCAAGAAGAAUCUACGGCUGAAAAAUAUUCUACUUUUAAAUUUCUUCCUUGACAAAUCUCCGACAGACGGAGCCGAUGCUCGUCGACGUUAGUCGAGUGCACCGGCAAAAUUUUGACAACGAGAAGAAAUCCUCUUGGCAAGCGGAGACAAAUUCAGAGAAACUCUUUUCCAGUGCAAUCGUCGUUCUCGGAGCACGCGUGUGUUCGGAUCGAGAUGAGGAACGAUAGUCCGUUUCAAUAUGCAUCGCGCAAUUUCGGCGGCCGUAAAGUUUCCAUCGUGAUCUUUCAAGUUUCCGCGCACGAGUCUCCAUCGCACUGGCUGUCCUUCGCUGAAUGGAAAACGCACCGGCGGACAAAUUUCGAUGCCGAUCGUCGUGCAUGGCGUAUGUGUGUACGAGAUUGCGAAAGACGCCAUUUCACGAGACAACUGCUGCACGUUUGAGCGCAUUACGGAUUGCGUCCUGGUUCUCUCCAUCCCUCUUCCUUCUUUUCUCUUUCACCCUCUCUCUAUCUUAUCCUCGCGCGCCGGGGUUUCCGCCGUAUCUCCGUCUCGCUUGCUUGGGAUAAUCCGACCGAUUACGUUAUGUUUAAAUAUUUAUCGGGCUGCAUUAGGGAAACAUGAGCCCUCUCUAUGCAUGGGAGCGCAGCACGUGGGAUAGCCAUCCCUUUCGCGCCCUCCGCCGCGCCUCUCGCGUCCGCCACCCCGUACUCGCCAGCUCCGCUGCCUACCUCUCCGCACUUCCUGCCGCCUCUUUUAACCCUUUUGCCUUGCCGGUCCCCUCGGUCAUCCCCGUCGACGGGUGGUGCAGGUAUCCGUCCGCUCUACCUCCCCGAACCAACCCCGGUUCGCAUCGCGACCAUGCCGUGCGACACGCGUACACACGCACACAAACCGGGCAUACCGCGAACCGGAAACUAAAUUCUCGGCAACGAGCCCGCCGAGCAUGCUCCCAAUUACGCGGUGCUCGCGGGACGAAAUUGAACGACCGCGGCGUUUUUCGGCUCCUGCGGCGACGGUCCUACAGUGAAUAUGGAGGGACAAAAUGGGACAGACAAGCGGAAGAGAGAGAAAGAGAGAGGUGCAUCUGUUUAUAUCGCAGCGCGACUCCUCCGAGGAUAAGCAUGAUAAAGUUCAAGCAAUGAAUAGGUAACGUUAUUACCGGAACGUGCAUGGGAACAAAGGAGACUUCUGAAAGUUCACGCGUGAUGAGUAGGCCAAUUUUGGUGCCGUGACAAUUAAAUGCGCUGCCGUGACGACAGCCCAACGUUCCACCGAAAUUUCGCGUUUGCAAGUGAAUAACUUAUUUUCAAGGGAGAAACUUCACAGUUCGCUCUUUCGGUUUAACGCAAUAACUCGACAUAGAAUACACAUGAGACCUUUUCUGUUAACCUCGAUUAUAUAAUUACCUCAAAUUUUCAUUAAAACGCGAUUAGCAUGACCCAUAAAGAAAAUGCAGCUGGAGAAUGAAGAAUCUAUUAGCAUCCAAAUUUAUUACCAUUCUUUCCAGUUUCACAAAUUCUUAAUCAUGUCAAAUCUCUUAUUUCCGUUUACAUAGAAAAUUGUUGCAUUCUUUCGUCGAAAAUCAAAUCGCACUGCCAACUCUUAACUCACUGUGGUAGAGAACAAGAAUCGCGCGAGUUUCCGAAACUCGCGACGCGUACACACAGUUCGCUGUGUCAAUUCCGCUCUUAUGCUAACUUUAAGUAGACCAGAAUCACGUUUGCGCGUUGCGAACGUGCAUGCAAUCAUCAGAUACCGCCGUAAACAUCUUCACUAUAGCGCGAGGGUUGCUUCGUGCGCCUGAAGCGCUUUAGGGACGGGUAAUAUUUAACGGGUACGCUAAAGUCGAACCGGACGCAGAUACGAUCGCGUUAUUCUAAGUGCGGUCGCGAUAAUUUUGCGUGCAGGCGAGAACGGAAGCGGUGGCUCGCUAGGGAAAGGGUCGUAGAGCGGACAAGAGAGGGUGUAGAGGGUGGUGGGCCACUCCUGACUUAUCGUUCCUCGUAAAGGAGCACGGAGAACGGCUCGGCACAAAUUCGGGACACAAAGCGCCGCCAUUUCUCGCGCGGCCUUUCUUGCUGCGUUCUCCAUCUCGCAGCAAAAGAGGAGAGAGGGAAGAAACGCGAGAGGGGAGCUCUCUUGUAGGGGCGAAAGUGCGGUGGUUGCGCAAGGGUUGCUUGACACAACAUAAAUAACAUGAAUGUGGGAGACAAUAACAAAUAUUUUUAAGGCAAAUAUUUUUAACGCAAGCUCGCUUGAAAUUAAACGAAGGAUAUAUUUUCAGUUAAUUUUUCAUGGCCCUCUCCCUUUUGACAUUCCUGCUACCUAACUACAUUUACAAAACCGCCUACGUUUCACCGCUUACAAUUCGACGAGAGCCAUCGAUGUCUCGACACCGAAACAACCACGAGUCCGCCCAAUUUCCCUCCUACCAUCUGCGGUUGAGAGGAAGUGCGAAAGUUUUGAGACAACGUGUAUACAACGAGAGCGAGAGAGCGGGCAAAAAUAGCGGCGGAGACCGAACGAGGAGGAGAAGGAGGGGGAGACAGAAAGGCGCGCUUUGACCAUAGGUAUUCAUGAGCGCAGCCUGCCUGGUGGAUUAGCAUGUGAAAGAACGCUUUGCCCGUCGCUUUCCACCCCGUGUGUUCCCUCUCUGCAGUCUUCUCUUCCUCUCUUUGCCCGGGCACAGUCCUGCCAUCUCAUAUUUUUCGAGGGGGACCGCACCGUGACCGGGGCCCCGUAUAUUCAACCGUCGAGAAAUGCUCGAGCCGGCACGUUAAUCGAAUACCCUGCGAAUCAACCUAAAGGGAAAAUGCGGCGCGGAAGAAAAAGCUCGCGCAGCUUUUGAAGCCCUCGAAGUUCUCGGUUAUCCAUCAUCAAGCACAACGUCGCGAGACCUUUUUGAUAUCAGUCCGCUUAUCUCGAAGACGAGCUACGAAAAUUCGUAACAAGUACGUUUGUGUUUAUCUUUCGAUAUUCUCAAAAAGAAAUUGAAAGUUAGAUGAUUGAAAGUGCGAACGACACUGAUUUUAUCAAUUUAAAAUUUGUUAAUCUCUUUUGUUAAAUAAGUUGUUAAAUUCUUUGCGAUUCCUGCACUUUCUAUCGCUUUCAUCUGCUACGCAUCGUUCCUGCGGAAUGUCUCACGCGGCUACCGAUUCAUCGCACUACUCUGGCGUAUUCUUUAAUUUGUGAAAAUAUCACUUGGAAAUAGAGACCUCCGUCCACGUCAUCUUUACAGCCGGAAACGCGCGGCGAAGAAAUCGCGGAGUUAGGUCGACGCGAUCGUGUCUCCUCGGUUCUCGCGGAAAUAUGAGUUCGCUCGUGGAAAGGCACUCGACGUUGACGGGCUACGAGCUCCAUCGGAGUUUUAAUCACAUUACUCGGCUACGACGGGCGAGCGUGUCACCAAGCUUUUGCUUCGACCUAAUCGAAUGAGAGAGGUCUUACGCCGCCACCAACCCCGUACUCGCGCCCCUUUCUCUCCCUCCCUCCCGUUCUCCACCGUCGCGCUCCCAUUACCGGCCGGAUGUAUAAAUGCGAGCAGUGAUACGUCUACGUCUUCCGCCUUACAGACCUCCUCGAGGAGCGGUGCGCGAACGCGUGCGUGCGCGUGUGUGUGUAGGAGGGUGGAAGGGUGAGAGGGAGAGGAGGUAGUUCUUUGAGGAUAUUCAUGAGGAGAUUACCAUGUGAAACGCCUAGCCUUCUCUUUUCGUCGCCUCGCGCGUUCCCUCCCCUCGUUCGCCUGAUCCUUCUCUUGCACCAUCGCCUUUUCUCCCGAUUCUUCCUGGUCCUGAGCGACCUCGAAGAGAGUAACUCGUUCAGUUACCUGAAUAACUCACGGCUCCUGGAGUCGCGGAGCCGAGUCUCGCUCGAACGAACGAAAAUGGCUGACUUUUAGUGCAACGGGGAAUAUGUCCAUUCCGCGUUUUUCAGGAGAGAUAUGAAACGGGGUCUUUUUAUUACGUUUACGUCACAGGAAGGCAAUUUAAAUUGCUUAUAUAAUCCACAUUUUUCAGAAUUCAGGGGAAAAUUACAAAUGCGUAAAAAGAUCGAGUUUAUAGGGAGAAGUUGGGAAUUUCCCUUGGGCGGAAAUGGCGACGGCAUGCUAAUAAAGACGAAAAAAAAAAUACAUGAUGAAAUAAGAAAGGAACAGAAAACACGAAGGUGAAUGGUGAGAAUCUUUCGGGAAUUUGAGACGGAUUUCCGAAGAGGGGCGCGGGUGAUGGAGUAGUCCGGGUUAAAAUGAAUAACAUUGGAGAUUGACAGCGAAUGAAUUCAGAUGUAGCGUGGAGAUUUAAUUCAUGAUGGAUUUGCCAGUUGGGAAUAAACAACGACGCAUUUGAUAUCGUGAAAAUAAAUUUGCUUUGAAAAAUUCGCGAUUCGUAAAUGCGUGGCACGUCAGCUUCACACUAGAAUAACAUGUAUAAAUCUUAAUAAGAGACAAUCGUGACGGCCUUGUAUUUUUUGGCAUCAUAAUAUUUUAUCACGAUAAAAUUAAUGGCUAUUAUGUAACCGAUCAUGUAAAAAUAGAAUUAAUUUGAUCGUUAGACAAGUUCUUUGCGAUAUUGUAUUAUUGCAAUUACAGUUUCUCGCGAUGGGCGUUAAUUUAAUCGCCUGCGUAGUGCACAAUUAAUUCAUUAACUAUAUGUAUCUCUAAUAAGCAAAUUUGUACAGUUUCAUAAAUCCGUUUAAAAAUGGGUCACCAGAUUAUGCGAUCGAUAAUUUACGCAUGGAAAGACAUUAUGUAAAAGUGUAGAUUACGUGAGAGAGAAGGAAGACGAAAUGAGGGGGUAGGAGGAUUUAAAGGUGUAUAAACCAUAUUUAUGAAGGAUUUAUGCAGGAUUAUAGACAAUGGCAGAGAGGGGAGGCUGAGAACGAGAGACGUGAUAUUCUCCGUUAAGACACGCUUUUAAAGGAACACCUACGGAACUUGACUGGAAAAUGAAGGGUCGUCAGAAGAGAAGCCGUAGAUCCGCAGGAAGGGGCGAUCAACGAGAAAAUAAAAACGUAUGAGGCGGUCGAGGGAGAAAGAAGAUCAGUGUUGUAGCGCGAGCAAUAAUCCGAAGAAGGAACAUCCGCCGGGAACGAAUGUAAUUUCCGAAUAAGCCGCGCGCUGCCGCUCGGCAUUGGAAUAAAAUCAAAGAAGUAUAUCCAAUAUCCAUUCGAGGAAUGGAUACGAUCGCGGCCGAUUGUGAGGAUCGAGUGCAUCGUCUCGAAAAUCAUUCUUCCGCGUCGUUCGGUUAUCUAUAAAGUAGGACACUUUAGUGGGACGCGUGAUCACAUUUCGCAUAUCUAAAUCUCAUUCUCUGCCGCGUUCUUACGAAAUUGUACAGAAAAUUGUAGCGUGCGAGAGUUUAUACCUUGUAAUUGAGUAAAGUGGUCAAAUGGAUUAUAUAUAAAAACAUAUUAGAAACUUUCGUAAAAGAAUUUUCUAGAAACUUCAUUAGGCGGACAACAGGAAGCUUAGAGCAACUUGCGGACCUCCAGCAAGUGUCGGAUUCCGUUCUCCGUCGAGAUAAAAAAAUGUUUUAAACAUUAUACUCCUUCAUAUCUUUAUACAAUCGCUGACAAAGAAGACUGAAGGGCUAUUUUCUCUCCUUCCAGCGAUUCGGUCGAUUCGACUGCCGAGUGUGACGAACGAGAGCCACGCUCCGCCUUAUCAGCAUGCAUUAGGCAGUUCUAGUCGACUUACCCGACUUACUCGCUACUCGUCGGCUCCUUCCGCAGGCACCCUCGAAUCACGCCUCACCCUGGCUCGUACGAAAUGUCAUGGCACGACGUCCUUACGGCGCUCUCACCCUCGAGAAGCACGACAGAUUCUUAAACGCGUCCCAAUUUGUCGGCAACGAGAUUCGCUCACUAACGCUGCGAGAGCCACGCCGACACUUUGCAUGUUUAAUACAGGAUAACACAAGACGCUCGGUGACUUUAUGUCACGGCUGCGAGAUUCUAAAGCAAUUUGAACAUGGAAAUGUCAUAGGGAAACAACAUUGUUAAAUGUCGCGUGUAGACCAGCAGUAUUGCGUUUCUGAGUGAAAGAAGCAACGUCGGAAACGAUGCAUAUUUACUGUGGAUUCCUCUCGGCGAGACUUUCAACGACGAUUCAUUUUCAAAGACGCGCGGUUAUCCUUUACAAAUUACUGAUUCCUUGACGGUCUUCAAGAUCGAAACUCUACUGAUUAAAUCAGCACAUCUGACCGCUCCAGGCAAAACACUCGCGCGCGGAAUCACCGACGUCGAAAUGGAAGCCGAGUUUUGCGGACACUCUAGCGCUCAUUAAUAUGUAUUAGACGACUCGGGCGGACUUACUCUUUCAUUGUCCGCACGCUUUGCCGACCGAUCGGCCGCCUCUCGGGGUUCGAUUUGCCCCUUAUCACUCGAGCACUCCAUAUUCCUCUUCCGCCACAUUUUCGUCUUCGCUCUUUCUUUCUCUAUCCCUCCCCCGUCAUCCUUCCCGCCGUCGUCACCCCUGCACGAGGCAGUCGGCUACUUCGAGCAAUUUGCGUGGUGAAAAAGUUUGAUUACUUUUCUAAGCGCGUACGAAGAAAGUGGGCUAGUGUUACGAGGGGGAGAAGUCGAUAAAAGAGGAAAAAGGGAGGGGAAAAAAGGUGCAAAUUUUUGCCCGCUCGGAUCGAGAACAAGGCAUUCUAUUUUUGUCUAGCAGCGUUAAUAAAUCGUACGGAAAAAAAUGAGAACGAGAAAUCUCUUAUCUUUCAGAGAGUAAACUCUUCCUCACGAUAAGACUACGCCAUUCUCAUGUUGCACUUUGUACAAUCGCUCGUGCCAACUUUGUAAAAAUAAAUUCGCAAGUGCUGGCAGAUAAAGGAGUUAUAAUCUACUUUCAAUCUGCUUAAAUCUAUUUGUUAUUUAACAGUCGCUGCACAAGAUAUCUUUACGUGGUGAACAUCGUGUUGGACAUUCUGUGCAGAGAGAUCUGCGGUGUAAUUGCGUUUCGUCGCCUUAUCCCAACGACGUUUGAAGUAAAACGACCCCGCUCUCCUCUCCGCAGCCUUACCCUUUAACGAAUUCUUCUCCCGAUCGCUUUCCCGUCCUCGGCUGUUCGUCGUCAUUGUCGCAGCGCGUUUUGCGAGAGCCGUGCUCGAUCGCAGCCUCUCCGUCUUCCUCCAACUUUAUCCCGCUCGUUCCUCCUCGCUAAUCCCGCGCGUUUAUCUGGCACUCCGGAAAAACCGGACGGAUUAAACUAUCGAAGAUUCUCCCCGCAACUACUUCGCCUUCUCUCUCGGCGUAUCAAAUCUCUCCUCGAGGUCUCUCCAUCUCUUCCCACAAGCUCCAACUUGAAAUUUACCCCCGCGUUACUUAAAUUAUAUAUCGCAGUUACUACUCGUUACUUAAAACUCGAUUCAUUUGCGUUACUUUAAUCUUUAUUUUCCCUUUUGUCAGAUUAGGUUUCAUCUGUUGCCUUGCGUUCUCGUUUUCAUGUUACAAAUAUGAUGCCAGCGUACCUAUUCCAAGUUUCGUCGAAGGUAUCAUCAAAAAUAAGAAGAGAGCAACGCUUGAAAAGAAAUCCUUGAAGAAGAAACGCGCGUCGCGGAAAAACGCGGACGCACGCGCGUAUAGGGAUACAUGUGUCUUCAGUAAAUGGACGAUAUAUAGGUAGGACAUAAGGUCGCACGCGCAAGGUCAAUCCUGGCGAAUGGCUCGAGCAAUUUUCACUUCGCUCGGGUUAUGCUCACGCGACUCCACCUCUGGCGGCUCCUUCUCUCUUGUUUGCUACGUAGACAGCAAGCGUGGACAGAGAGUGCAGAGGACAGUACGGGAGGAAAGCAGUAUGGGACGUGCAGAGGAAGAAGAACGUGUGUGUGAAAGAAAGGAGAGAGACACCGCGAGCAGGACGAAGAGCGAGCGAAUUUACUGACUCGAGGAGUCGUCCUGAUUUUCCUCCCCUGCGAGAUUGCCUCGGCUGCACACCUUCUCAACGAUUGACAAGACCACUUCCUUCCCUUGCCCCCGUUCUGCUCGGUUUCUACCUCUUUUCUACCCCUUCGUGUUCGCGCGUUUGUAGCCGUCCUCUCCUGCUCAGACGCUCUCGAUGCGCUCGUCCCUUCCUCGUUGCUACAAAAUUGGACGACGCGAGAAAAUUUGCCAUCUCCACGCGCGCGUUCCCAUUCACCCUCACGGUCACCUCGUUUGCCUCCUCCAUCCCCCGGCUUCGUCCUCGUGGAAGCGAAGUCCACGGACCAAGGAGAAGGCUCGCCGUCCGAAAUUUGGGACGCGCGCACAGCCGGGCGAUAUUGUUUCACAUUGUGCGAGUUUCGCGCUCCUCCUUCCCAGGGUGUAACUUAUGAAAAGCGUCGCAAUCCACCCCGGGCGCGUAAAACGUUUAUUAAGUCUCUGCGAAAUGAACUCGAGAGGCGCUUACGGGAUCUUACGACGUACGUGCGUGUAUACGAGGUGCUCCGAAAGAAUACCGACGCCAAAGACCGGCAACGUGUUCCGCUAAGAGCGAGGAUGAAAACGUGUCGUCACGUGGCACGGUAACACCGCGACGUUAUAGCAACUAAUUUAAUUCUGCAGCUUGAAAGGCGAAACUGGCCAAACCGAUUUAGAAUCGGGCGAACAAGUUUAGAAUAUAUUUCAAAAAACGUUGCAGAUCGAACAGCAACAUUAAUUAAUUUAGUUUUGUUUGAGAUCAAUGUUAAUAUUGAUAUUAAUAUGUAUAAUAAAACUUUCAGUCAGAGUCAGCGUAAGAUUCGCCGAAUACAAGACGACUAAUAAGAUAAUAAUAUACAUAUAGUGUCGAGCGUAGAACCAUUAUUUCCUUAUGUGUCAUUCCUAAACCACAUUUAGCGGAUGUUGAAAAUCUUGCCAUAGAUUUCAUAUUCCUAACAGGAAAUGUAAUUUCCUGUAUCACAAUUAUAAACUGGUAGCACUGCAGUACGCGAACAGUACAAGACGUAAAUGCAGCACAAACGGCUCUUCUUCUAAAAACAAUUUAUUUUUAUUUUUAUCUCAUUCCAAUCAUAGUAUUGUGAUUAAAGAGCAAAUUGCAUCGUUUAAAUAAAAGAUUGUGAUUUAUUAACAAGUGGUUCAAUUAAUUUAAAAUUGAUACACAUAUAUGUAAAACUAGGUUUACGUAAUCGUUACCUAAAAUAAUACAUGCUAGAAUGUAUAACGUGACAAUCGCGUUUUGCUUACUGCAUUUCGGAUGAAUGGUAGAUUUAUCAAAAAGAUAUAUACGUUUAAUUAUGAUGAAAAAUACAAUAACGGGCGUGUUAAUCUCCUUUCUCUUCGUAAGUGAGGUACGUCAUGUUUUUGGAACAGUAACUGUAAUACGCGAAAUAACUUACGCAAACGAAAGAAAACUGACAUGCCUCUCAGAAGACGAUGGCAGUGCACUUGUUUGGAACGAUGUAAUCUCGGAAGAAUCAUUGAAAAGAUCCAAUAAAAUGCGAUUUUACAACGUGGGUCAAAUUAAACCAGAUAAAAACAAAAUAGAUUGCAAAAUGAAGGAAGGCGAUGAGUGCAUAAAAUCGUGGAUUACAGGAAAAUGGAGCUUUACAGAUUCCCUAAUAACACCUUUAGGUCCGGUAUUUGAUGAACGAUGGGAAGAAUUCACAGAAAAUAAAAAAUUAGACAUCCAUUGUUUUCAUCAUGUAGAAUUAAAAAAUACUACAGCAUUCUCAAUUUCGAUGCGUAAUGUCAAACAGUUUACUGCACAGUUCUGCAACAAUCCUGAUGCUUAUGAACAGAGCCCUUGCUAUUGGAUCGCAAUAGGUGCAACAGAUAAUAUGUGAUCCGGCAUACACAGGUGCCCGACAGGCAUGAAGUCGAAAAUUGAAAAAGACAAACAAGAAUGUUUAAAACCUAAAGUCAAGGUCCAGGUAAAAUAUAAUAGCACCAAUUUUUACUUUAUGUAUACUUGAGCUAUUCUUCCUCUAUAUGUGCAUAACCUAUCACAUAGCAAAAGGCAAAAUAUAUACAAUAUCUAUUUAUAUCUAAGAUUCGUACACAUAUCAAUAUUUUCAUCAUUCCUGAAAAGUUGCAAUUUUCAUACCAUAUUCUAAACUAUAUUCUAAAAACUUGGAUUUUCGGGAAUAUAAAGUCGCCAGAAUCAUCUCCUAUAAUGUUCUACUUAGAAAUAAUUGAUAAUUAAUACAGCAUAGUCCAUUAUCUUCAACUGAAUGGCGAACUUUUCUCAUUAUGUGGGACUCUGUAAAUCGAAAUAUAUCUCUCUACGAUGCUAC
RNAcentral lists this long non-coding RNA (46956 nucleotides) under Ooceraea biroi (clonal raider ant). RNAcentral describes it as "uncharacterized LOC113562177". Lineage: Eukaryota; Metazoa; Arthropoda; Insecta; Hymenoptera; Formicidae. The record is from RNAcentral.